UCGGCAUCAGGAUCGCUGAUCAAAAGGACUUGAAGAGAGUUUUUAAGGACGAGUCUCCGGUACUGUCUCUUGUCCGUACGUGGCUUUAUAAUCUCUACAUCAUCUUUACCGACAGCCAUUUUUUCAGUCUCUUGCAGAAGAGAGAAACAAUCGUUUUGGCUUUAUAGGGAUCCACAAGUGAAAUGACCGAGACCAAGACUUUAUUUUUUAUUUUUUUAUAAAAAGACCAAGACGUUUUUGCUCGAGUCUCCUGCGCUUUUGUGUUGUGGCUGUCACGGAUAUUUGCUUCCUCAAUAAAUAUGUGACAAAUUUCACAAACCUGCCUUAAAGAGCGUUAGGUAUUGACUUACUUUGACCAAAACGACGUUAUUAGUUAUGUGGUUGUAAGAGAAUCUUUUAUACACUUAAAAAAAAAUAAUAAUAAUAAUAAGAAAAAGAGAAUCUUUUGUACAACACUAGUGUCUGGGUCGAUCGCGAUCGAUACUGCAUGAAUGCAAAACAUUCGAUAAACGUAAUGAAGAGAGAGGCUUUACUUCGUCUGACAUGACUUCAAACUAAUUGACAACUUAAAAUUAUCAAACUAUUAUUGCAAAAAAAAAAAAAACAUAUAAUACUGCAAGUUCGAAUGUAAUUUUUAAGAGUCAUCUUACAGUGCAGCGCUGUAUCUUAUACAGCCGCUGCCAAAAACUAGAACAACCGGUAUUUUACCGGUUGUUCAUUAAAUAAUUUUUAAAAUUUGUUUUUAAUGCUUAAAAAAAUAUAGUAAAAUGAAAAAAAAUGUAUGAAAAAUUUAAAUCUGAAACAUAAAAAAUCAAUUAAAUGAGAAAAAUAUUUUAAAUUUUUUUAACAUAAAUAAAUGUUAAGAAAUUAUAAAAAUAAUUAUAUUUCAAUUUUUUUGGCUAAAUACCAAUUUAAUGGGUGGAUGUUCAAGUUUAUUUUGUAUGUCUCUAAUUUCGGUUAGUCUUUUUCAUUUAUUGGUUCAUUUAUUUCAAUUUUUCAACCACUAGUUUUGUGUUUAAUGUUCCAACUAAAUUAAUUAAAUACCAAUAUUUUGGGGUAAAUUACAAGUAAAUUUUAGUUCUCGUAGGAUGAGUUCCUAAUUUUAGUUAAGCUUUCUCUCUUAUUGGUAUAAGGGUUUCAGCUAAUAAUUUCACUAGCUUUGUGUUGAAUGUUCCCAUUAUCGAGGUAAGAUUUCAAUUAUUUGAGUUAAGUACCAAAUUACUUUGUAGCGUUUAAUUUUUGGUUGGAUUUGUAUCAAAUUUUGGUUAAACUUUCUCAAUUUAAGGUUAAUAUAUUUCAACUUUUCAAUCCAUUAGUUUUGUGUUUAUUCUUCCUACUAAAAUUGUUAAAAAUCAAUAUUUUGGGUUAAAUUCCAAGUAAAUUUUAUUUCUCGUCGGAAUAAUUCCUUAUUUUGGUUAAACUUUCUCCAUUAUGGGUUCAUAUAUUUCAACUAAUAAUUUCAGUGAUUUUGUGUUGAAUCUUACUAUUAUCGCGGUAAGAUUUCAAUAAUUUGGGUUAGAUACCGAUUUUACUUUGUAAAUUUUUAUUUUUGGUUCUAUUGGUUCCUGAUUUGGUUAAUCUUUCUCAACUAUAGCCUUAUAUGUUUUAACUUUUCAAUCCACUAGUUUUGUGUUUAGUAUUCCUACUAAAAUCGUUAAAAACCAAUAUUUUGGGUUAAAUUCCAAGUAUAUAUUAUAUCUCAUUGGAUAAUUUUCAUGAUUUUGGUUAAAUUUUCUCUCAUACAGGUUCAUUUAUUUCAACUAAUAAUUCCACUAGUUUUAUGUUGAGUGUUCCUAUUAUCUAGUUAAGAUUCCAAUAAUUUGGGUUAAAUAUUAAAUACACUUUGUAAGAUUUUAUUUUUGGUUGGACUAAUCCCUAAUUUUGGUUAAUCUUUCUCAAUUAUAGGUUAAUAUAUUUCAACUUUUCAAUCCAUGAGUUUUGUGUUUAAUAUUUCUAUUAAAUUCGUUAAGUAACAAUAUUUUGGGUUAAAUUAUAAAUAAAUUUCAUUUCUCGUUAGACUAAUCCCUACUUUUGGUUAAACUUUCUCCUUUAUUGGUAUAUGAGUUUCAACUAAUAAUUUCACUAGUAUUGUGUUCAAUAUUCCGAUUAUUUAUGUAAGAUUUUAAUAAAUUGGGUUAGAUACCAAAUUUACUUUUUAGAUUUUAUAUAUGGUUAGAUAAGUUCCAUAUUUUGGUUAAACUUUCUCACUUAUGGGUUCAAUUACUUCAAUUAAUUAGUUCACUAAUUUUUUGUUUCAAGUUCUCAGUGCCUACGUUAUGUUUCAACAUUAUUGGUUAAAUUCCAAGUUGAUAUUAUAAAAUUCAAAGUUACCUUUAUUACGAAAAGCAAAUAAUAUUAUUAAGGUGAAUCUCAUUUUACUCCUCUUAUUUCAGUAAAUAUCAACUUACAACAAUAUAUUAAAAUUUCACUAUUGUAACCCCUAUUCAAUUUUCUAUAAACUACAAUCAACAUUGUAAGUUAAAAGAUUAGGAACUUAUCUAAUCUAAUUAUGUUGGAACAUUUUAUUUUUCUUUUUAAUCUUCUUGACUUCAUGAGAUUUCUUAAACUCAACUUAUUUAAACUUGAGCUUUUUAUCAUUAUAGAUAUGCCUAUUUUAUUAUUUCAAAUUAAUUGUACUCAUUUUCUUUCCAAAAUAAAUUCUUUGAUAUCUCAUGACUUCAGCCAAAAUUUCAUUUUUAACAAUUGCAUAUGCAAUUUGUACAGCUCAAAUUUUUAUUUUUCAAAUGUUUAAGAUAAAACAAAUUAUUUAUUUAUUAAUUUAUUAUAUGAUUAUCACAGGAAUAAUGAAAAUUAAUUUUUAUAUUCAAAUUUUAAGAUUUGCAAAUUAGAAUUUACUUUGAAUCCAAUUCAACUAAGUCACCAUUUAUUUAUCUUUAAUUAAUGCUUUAAGCAUAGUAAAUGCAUUUCAAAUUAAACAAUAUUUUGUAUAAAAAAAAUACAUUAGGAAAUUAAUGCAAUCAAGAAAAAAGAAAAUAUAUUAAAACAUUAAUUUUGCUUCCUCAAUUAAGUAUUAAAAGGAAAAUUUUCUCUUACAGAUAAAUUCAACCUUAUAAUUUAACAAUAAUGUUGACUACAAUUUUAAAACUAUUUAUUUAUUGCUCCAAAUUGCAAUAGUUUUUUAUGAGUCAUAAAAAUUAAAUUUAUUUAACAUUAUACUUAUAUAGUUGGAUACAUAAUUUAUACCUUAAUUGAUGUUGCCUUAUUUUCAAUUAUUAUAUUUUAGUGAUAGUUUAUUUCAUUGUAUACUAAUAGUGUUAUAAAUUUGUAAUAAUUGAUUAUACAUCAUAUUUUUCAUUGAUUACUACUCGAAUUAUAUAAUAUCUAUUUUAUAAGUGAGUAUUACUCAAAUUAAUAUAUUAUACUUUAAAAUUUUAAUUAUUAUACUUAAAUCAUAUAAUCACAUAUGCAAUUAAGCGUAAAUAAUGAAAAAGGUCACUUCCCAAGGUUUGGGGAAAUGAUCAUGUAGAUCCUUGAGUUUUUACUAAGAGACACUAAAACCCCUUUUAACUAUAAUGCUGUGGUUCAUUCUUAUAAAAAGAUCCAGUUGCCUCCACUGCAGACAUCUCUAGAGAAAAAAUCUAUUGCAACUUCCAAUUGGCAAUCCCCACUGCCAGGUUGUUUCAAAGUUAAUGUGGAUGCAUCAGUUGUGAUUGAGCAGAGAAGAGUUGGUCUGGGGGCUGUGGUUCGAGAUUCUAGAGGCAAAGUAAUAGCAGCAGCCAUGAAACCUUCUUGUUUCUAGCAGGAGGUAGCCUAUGCCGAAGCAGAAGCUGCAAGAUUCGGUGUUGAAAUUGCAAAAAAGGUGGGAUGUUGGCCUUUAAUCAUAGAAAUUGAUUCUGAGGAGGUUGUAGAUCUGGUUUUGAACAAGAAAAGCACAAGAACUGAACUUUAUUGGAUCAUAUCUGAUUUGCAAGCUUGUAUUAAGAGGCAACAACAAAUAUCAAUUCAAUAUACUCCAAGAGCCAGUAAUGUAAUAGCUCACAAUUUAGCUAGACUAGCUCUGGAGCAAUUUGACGUUGUACUUUGGGUGGAUAACAUUCCAGCCCGCCAUUUGUAUUUAUUCGCUUGUUAAAUGCAUUUAAAGGGAGCCCUUUUUAUCAAAAAAAAAAACUAUAAUGCUUUUUGACUUUAUUAAUUCAAAAAAAUUGACUCUAAAGUUUUAUAAUAAGUAGAAAUAUAAUAUUAAAAUAAAUGUAACAAUAUAUACAUUUUAAAUUAAUUAAUAUAUAAAAAAUAUUUUAGUACUUUACAAUCUUAUAUUAUAUUAAACUAAAAUUUUUUAAUAAAUAGGAACAUAAUAUUAAAAUAAAUAUUUAAAAAUUUAAAUUAUUUUCAAUAUUGUAUACAAAAUUUGAAUACUAUUAAUACAUGAGAUAUAUUUUAUUAAUAAUAAAAUCUAUUUAACCUAAAGAUUUAUUUAAAAUUUUUCUAACAAAUACAAAUAUAUAAUUAAAAUAAAUAUCAUAAUUUACAUUUUAAAAAAUAUUUUAUAUAUUAAAAAAUAUUUUAAUAUUAUUAAUUUAUUAGACAAAUUAAACUAUUUAAAUUAUAUUUGUACUUCUUAAAAAUCUAAAAGUCAAUUUUUUUGAAUCAAUAAAUCCAAAUUGUAUUAUAGUCAAAGGGGUCUUAGGGUCCCUCGGUGAAAACAUGGGGUUUUAUAUGAUCAUUUUUCCAAAUUUCGGGGGUGUAUGUAUCUUUUUCCCUAAAUUAUUUAAUUCUCAGUGUUGCACUAAAAUUAUAGUUUUCUAGUUACAUUGUUAAUUUAGUUAAGGGUACAAUACAAUGUCAAUCACAAUUAUUGUAAUAAUACCUAAAAAAUUAUGCUUGAUAUUAUUAAAAAUUUAAUUUUUAACAAAUUGUACCUUGUUGACUUGAUUGAGUGGUUUUCAAGCGGGGUUAAAAAAUAAAAUCAAAUUAUACACACUUUAGAAAAAUACAUUCAAUUGGACUAUAUAUAUACACAUUAUUAAAACUUUUAUUAUUAUAGAAAAUAAAAUCAUAUAGACUAUACAAGACAUUUCAUUAAAAAUAUAUAAUAUCGUAAAAAAUAUCAUAAGCUGAAUUUAGUUUAAUCAUAAUAAUAAUUACUAUAAUGACAGUUAUUAACAAUAUAAAAAAAACAAAGAUUAUCCUUUGUUGUUUAGAAAAAUGAAAAACCCUCUCAUGUUUUAAAAUAAAUUCAAAUCUCCUGCAACUCUAACUGUGUUAGCUUUAUAUAUCAUUGUAUUAUUUGACACAUAGUUUUGAUGUUAGCCAUAAAAUUUAAAUAUUUUUAGAGUAUAAAUAAAGUGAAAUGACUUAUAUAACUCUAAUGAUUAAAUAAAUUUAAUAAUAAAUUAUCGAGAAAAAUUACUUCACACACACACAUAUUGUGGAUAUAUAUAACCAAAUGCUAUUCCAAUUUAAAUGGAUAAUUUACAACUAUUAGGGAUAUUUUCCCCACUUGUAAUUUUUCUUUAUAAUUUACAAUUUAUUAUAAAAUAAAAUUUGAUCAUUAAGGAUAUAUAAGUUAUUUUAAUUAAUUUGUAUUUUCAAAAUAUUUAAAUUUUAUAGGUAACAGUAAGAUUAGGGGUAGAAUAGUAAAAUGAUAUAGAAAGCUNNNNNNNNNNNNNNNNNNNNNNNNNNNNNNNNNNNNNNNNNNNNNNNNNNNNNNNNNNNNNNNNNNNNNNNNNNNNNNNNNNNNNNNNNNNNNNNNNNNNAAUAUACUUAGUUUACACUAAUAUAAAUAUUAUUCUCACUAAUAUAGACAUUACAUGUUUCAAAGUAAUUUUUUCAGCCAUAAGAAAAUGCAAAUUUUUCAUGCUGAGGAGGGUGUCUUUGAAAUUUUCCUAAUUUAAAUUGAUAAUUUAGAUAUUUAGAUAAAAUUGGUUGUAGCUAUGUGAUAAUUACUACUGAUAUUUGCCAGUUCCCACUUCCAAUUCUUUCGUUCGGUAGCAGGUUUCAUGCGUAAAAAAUAAAAGCCGUUGGAUUGCUUAUAAAAGCAAUCCAACGGGGAAUAGGUUUCAAAAUAAAAAAUAAAAACGGCUGUAUGGCGUGCAGUGGCUGUAUUAUAAGCGGACCCAAUUUUUAAAUAGGUUUAUUUAACUAAUCAUUCAAGUUCAAAUUUUAGAGAGAGAAAUAAUAUUAUUAAAGAAGAAGAACAUACCAAGUUGUCAAUGAAAAGAACAGAGAGAGUAAAGAUAAACAUUAAAUUAGAGAAAAAAUUAUAAAAGAAAUUAAUUAUUCGUUUUAUCUAAUCUUCAGCUAGCUUCAUCCUUCUCUGAUUUGAAGGCAAAAAUUUUGUUUAAAUUUGUGGCUGUUGUAUAUUUUGUAAGUUCAAAUGCCCCACCACUCUAUAUUUAAAAAAAAAAAAAACAAAAAUAAUUUUUUUGACUAUAUAUUCGUGAUUUAGAUAAUCUUAUGUAGCCUUCUUUUUUUUUAUAAAUCUAAAUCAAUCUGAAAGCAUAUGUUUGAAAGAUAAUUUUUUUUUAUUUUUUAAUGUCUAACUAUAAGUGAUAAGUUUUAUACACUCAAAACAUCUUAAAUAUAAUAUUUUUAUACUUAUGACCUUGAAAGUGUUAUUUAUAUUUAGUUAAUUUAAAUAGGUAUAUACUUGCAAUGUUAUUUAGUACAAUAGUAUUUAUAUGUUAUAAAUAUUUAUAAGGUAAACAUUUGAUAUAUAAUUUAUGAAAAAUAAUUUUGAUAACAUUAUUUUUUACAAAUUAACAUAGUAUUUAUACAGUAAAAAAAAUUGUUAUCUAAUAAUAAAAGAAUUUGCACAUAUUGAAUGCAUGUUAAGUAAUUAAUACUAAGCAAAAGUUGAGGUCAAGAGAAAUUCUAAUAUGACAUCUAAAUUAUGUUAUAGACAGUUAAUUAAAAAAAAUUCUUUUGAUUAAAAGAAAUCAAAGGAUUAUUAGGUUUUAUAUAAUAGUUGGGUAGAAAAUAAAUUCAUUUGAUGAGAGUACUUGUGAGAAAAAAAAUAAUUUCUCAUUUAGAUAAAAAUUAAAAAAAUUUAUUUUUUCCAUUCAAAUGAAAAUAUCUUAUAAUAAGACUUUAGAUACAAAACCAAACAAGUUAAAAUACCAAAACAUCUUAAAUCAAGUCAAAUUAAGACUUUAGACAUAAAAAAAAAUAAACCCUUACUUUUACUCAUCAAAUAAUGAAACCGUGCACCGCAGACAGCCUACAAAACUCAUCAAAUACGAUUCUAUUCACAACUUAUUAUGAUCGGUACUCGGUAGUUAAGAAUAUUAUUAACUACCCCUUUUUUUAUAAACCAUAAACUAAGAUAAUUGAAACCCACGUAAAGAAACAUUAAUCAAGAAUAUUCCUAAUAAGAUGGUUUGCGAACGUACAAAUAUAACUUGAUUUUGUUUUGUGGGACUCUCCGCCUUCAGAUAUUUCUAGGCUUCCCUCUUAUAACUCUAAGGACUCUUGCUUUGUUCUAUUUUAUUUUUCGUUCAAUUCUUGUUUCGCGCGCUGUCAUAGCUUUCUUUCUAUUUUACAAGGAAAUGCUCACUAUUCCUGUUGAUUGAGAUAUUUUGAUGGUCUUAUUAAGAAUAUCAGUCCUCACAUUUGUUGUUAUUGUUGUUCGUUAUAAUCUUGAACUAACAUCCAAACGAAUGAUGGCAAGAUUACUGAACUUCUUUUCAUUGUUAACUUUCUCGUUGAGGCUCAGCGUCGGAGGGCUCCUGCCUUUAAAAAACUCUACCCCUUCAAACUAAGGGUUGGAUCAAUUGGGCCAAGAGACGGGUUGGGCUUGUUUGUCAUUCUUAAAUUAUAUGAAAGCACAAUGAAUAAGAAGCAAAGAAAGAAGGAAAAUGAAUACAAUUAUACAAACCUCAAAGAUUCUCUCGCUGAUUUUUUAAGCAUUCGUGAAAGGAACCUAAAUACAGCCUAGGGAACAUAGUGAGCAUUAACCAUUAACGAAACAUAUAUAUAGCGAUUGAAAAAAAAGACUGCUAAUUAAGAAGAAAAGAUCUUGUUCAAGUGUGAGCUGUGAAACUGAUUUCCAGAGAUUCAUACGACAUGUCAGUUCGUGAUUGGUACAGAAUACGACUGGUCGGCUAAGAUCAUGCAAAGCCAUACGACAAAGCUGUUUGUUCAUCCAUAUGCGAAUAAGUCAAGCACGUGGUCGUCACAUGCUUACACUUAUUCAAUACGACUUUGCUGAGUGCCGUUUUGGAGCCUUCAUUCAAUGUGAAGUAAACACGUGGCUCUGAAGGUCGUUAUGUUCUGUUACAAGAGCGGGAAGAUCUGGUUUUUAUUGACAGAGGAGAGUUGACUGGUGGGGGUAAUUUCUGGGCUCACUUAAGCAUGUAUAUAUAGCCUUAAGUGAUGUGGAAUCAGGGUGUGUGAUGCUUGUAACUUCAUAUAAAGACUUGUAUCUUGUUCCUGGUGAUUGAAUAAAGAUUGUUGCUCUAUUCUUCAGUGGAUGUAAGCCAACUCCAGGUUGAACUACUUAAAUCUUUUUUUUUCGUUGGUUGCUGUUCUUUAGUUCCUUUUGUGUAUCUUUUAUUGUUGCUUAAGUAUUUCUUAAUCAAGCAUCAGAGUGUUUAGAUAAAUCUUGGGAAUCUUGGUUGAUUUAAUUCGAUCAAGGUCUAACAAAUUGGUAUUAGAGCCCAACAACUCUGAUUUUUUAUCCAAGAAAUGGCAACCUCUAAGUUUCAAGUAGAGAAAUUUACAGGAGAGAAUGACUUCCAUUUAUGGCGGCUUAAGAUGAGAGCAUUGUUGGUCCAUCAAGGGCUUGAAGAAACACUGGGGGAUCCAAGAUCUGAAAAGAAGCCCAGCAAGCUCAGUGGAGAAGAAAUGCAAGAUGCAUUAGACAAGGCUCAUAGCACCUUAAUCUUGAGUCUGGGUGAUGGAGUUCUGAGGGAAGUUGGGGAUCAAACAACUGCUGCAGGCCUCUGGAAGAAAUUAGAAGAUCUCUAUACGAAAAAGUCUCUAACCAAGAGACUUUGCACUAAGAAGAGGCUGUAUACAUUGCAAAUGGAGGAGGGUAGCUCUCUGGCAAAUCACAUUGAUAACUUCAACAUAAUCAUUCUUGAUCUUGAAGAUAUCAAUGUGAAACUGGAAGAUAAAGACAAGACAAUAAUCUUGUUAUCAUCUCUCCCACCUUCCUAUGAACAUUUUGUGGACACUUUACUAUAUGGAAGGCAGUCAAUAACCAUGGCUGAUGUGAAAGACUCUCUCAAUUCAAAAGAGGUCACAAGGAAGUCAGAAGUAAAAGAUGGUGAAGGCUUGACAGCAAGGGGUAGACUAGAAAAGAAGGAUUACAGUAACAAGAAUAGAAACGCAGCAAAUCAAAGUCAAAGAAUAAAAGUUUGAAAUGUUUCCAGUGCCACAAAGAGGGACAUUUCAAGAAAGACUGUCCAGAGAGAAAGAACAAGGAAAAAGAUGGACCCAAGAAGAAUGGAGAUGCUGCUGUUGCAUCAGAAGAAAAGGAUGAUGAAGGCUAUGACUCAGCUGAGGUUCUUCUAGUCACUGGAACUCAAACCAAUGGUAAGUGGGUGUUGGAUUCUGGAUGCACUUAUCACAUGUGCCCUGAUAGAAAUCUUUUUUCCAGUUAUAGAUUUUUUAAUGGUGGGGAAGUUAUGAUGGGAAACAACUCACUUUGUAAAGUGGUUGGACUUGGAACCAUUAGGCUUAAGAUGUUUGAUGGGGUGAUUAGGGAAUUAAGUGAAGUAAGGCAUGUUCCUGAGCUAAAAAGAAACUUAAUAUCACUAGGAAUCCUUGAUCAAAUAGGCUGCAUCAUUAAAAUGGAAUCUGGGGUUAUGAAGAUAAUUAGAGGGUCCAUGGUGAUAAUGAAGGGGGCCAAAAAUAAUGGCUUGUAUGUGCUGCAAGGGACAACCAUUACAGGGGAUGUUAGUGUCUCAACCAGUAAGAAUCUAAACAAAACACUAAUGUGGCACAUGAGAUUGGGGCAUAUGAGUGAAAGGGGGAUGAAGAUAUUAGAAAAACAAGGAGUCUUGAGGGAUGAUAAGAUAGGUUAUGUUGAGUUCGUGAGGUAUGUGUCCUAGGAAAAUCCUCUAGAACUAGUUUCAAAAUUGCAGUGCAUAAGACCAAAGGAACCUUAGAUUACAUCCACUCUGAUUUAUGGGGACUAGCACAGACAACUUCUUUAGGUGGAGCUAAAUAUUUCCUAUCCUUGAUUUAUGACUAUUCUAGAAUAGUUUGGGUGUAUCUCUUAAAGAGUAAAAAUGAAGCCUUUGAGAAGUUUAAGUAGUGGAAAGCACUGGUAGAAACACAAACAGGUAGAAAAGUCAAGAGGCUAAGGACUAAUAAUGGUUUAGAAUUUUGCAAUCAACAAUUCAAUGAUUUCUGUGCUCAGAAUGGAGUUGUAAGACACAAGACAGUAAGGCAUACUCCACAGCAAAAUGGACUUGCUGAGAGGAUGAAUAGGACUCUCAUGAACAAAGUAAGAUGUCUGCUAAUUCACUCAAAACUUCCUCAAUCCUUAUGGGCUGAGACACUUAUGACAGCUUGUUAUUUAGUCGAUAGAAGUCCAUCCAGUGGCAUAGACUUUAAAACACCUGUAGAAAUGUGGUCAGGCAGAGCUGCUAACUAUUCUGAUUUGAAGAUAUUUGGCUGCCCAGCAUUUGCACAUGUAAAGCAAGGAAAGCUUAAGCCUAGGGCUCUGAAAUGUGUCUUCCUUGGAUAUCUAAAGGGUGUGAAGGGCUGUAGGCUCUGAUGUAUUGAUCUUAAACCACCCAGGUGCAUAGUUAGUAGAGAUGUGAUUUUCAAUGAACAGGAAAUGCUUAAGAGCUAUAUGCAGAAGCUUGAAAACUCAGACAAAAACACUAGUGUACUGAGAGAUCAGAUUAAGGUGGAGCUUACUGGAAAAUCUGGAGAUACAACUUCAUAUGAGACAUUAGAAGAUAAGGAAAGAGAUGCAGAAGAUUCUGAUGAAAUUUCAGAAAAACAAACAACAUUGCAUGAUUAUCAGCUGGCCAGGGAUAGAGAAGGGAGAGAGAUAAGGGUACCAAAGAAGUAUGCAUAUGCAGAUCUGAUUGCAUAUGUAUUAACAGCAGCUCAUGAACUGGAUUAUGAUGAACCUAAAACCUACAAGGAAGCUGUUUCAGGGAAAAAUGCGAACUAGUGGUUGAAAGCCAUGAAAGAAGAAAUGGAUUCUUUGUAUAAGAAUGACACCUGGACACUUGUGAAAAAACCAGACAAGAAAAAGGUGGUAGGAUGCAAAUGGGUGUACAAACUCAAGCAAGGUAUUACAGGAGUGGAACCAGUGAGAUUCAAAGCCAGACUUGUUGCAAAGGGCUUCACUCAAAAGGAGGGGAUUGACUUUACUGAGGUAUUUUCACCUGUAGUGAGGCAUGCCUCUAUAAGAAUCAUCUUGUCACUGGUGGCUGUAAACAACAUGCAUUUGGAACAAAUGGAUGUAAAAACAGCAUUCUUACAUGGGGAAUUACAAGAGUACAUAGUAAUGGCUUAGCCUGAAGGAUUCACAGUCAAAUCAAAGGCUGAUUGGGUUUGUCAUCUGAAGAAGUCUCUCUAUGGACUUAAACAAUCCCCAAGACAAUGGUACCUCAGGUUUGAUAGCUUUAUGUUAGAGCAGAAAUUUCAGAGGUGUAACUUGGACUGUUGUGUUUACUUCAAAGAAGAUUCAUGCAUGAUGGUUUAUCUGGUAUUGUAUGUAGAUGACAUGCUUAUUGCCAGUGUAAGCAUGAGCUUAAUUGAAAACCUGAAACAUAAGCUUAAAAGAGAAUUUGACAUGAAGGAUCUUGGUCCAGCAAAGAAAAUUCUGGGAAUGUAGCUACACAGGGAUAGAAAAGCUGGCACUUUGUUUCUCAGUCAGGAAGAAUACAUUAGAAGGGUAAUUGACAAGUUUGGAAUGGCAAACUCAAAGCCAGUUCAAACACCCUUAGCCCCUCAUUUCAGAUUAUCAGAUCAGUUGUGUCCAAAAACAGAAGCUGAAAUAUCUGAGAUGAUAAAUAUACCUUAUGCAAGUGCUGUAGGUUGCUUGAUGUAUGCUAUGGUCCUAACUAGGCCUGAUUUAUCCUAUGCUGUGAGUGUUGUAAGCAGGUAUAUGACAAACCUUGGAAAGGAACACUAGAGGGCUGUAAAAUGGAUUCUCAGGUACCUAAAUGGGACAGCAACAUAUGGGUUAAUGUAUGGAGGACAGAGACAAGAUGACAGUCAGAUUGUUGGUUAUGUGGACUCUGAUUAUGCUGGGGAUCCGGAUAGAAGAAGAUCACUUACAGGAUAUCUCUUCACACUCAACAACUAUACUGUCAAUUGGAAAGCUCAACUGCAGAGUGUUGUGGCACUUUCAACCACAGAAGUUGAAUACACAGCUGUUGCAGAAGCAGUUAAAGAAGCCAUCUGGCUGAAAAGAAUGCUUAAAGAACUUGGUGUUGAUCAGAGGUCGAUAAUGAUAAACUGUGACAGCCAAAGUGCUAUAUGUCUGAGCAAAAAUCAGACACAUCAUGAAAAGACCAAGCACAUCGAUAUCAAGUUGCAUUUCAUAAGACUAAAAGUGUUGAAAGCAACAGUGAAGCUGCAGAAGAUUCAUACAGACAAGAAUGUUGCAGAUAUGCUAACUAAACCAGUUAGAAUUAAGUGACAGAUAGUUGAAGAGAAGAGUAAUAGGUUCAUGAGGGUUUCAAGCUCAAGGUGGAGAAUGUUGAAGUGUGAGCUGUGAAACUGAUUUCCAGAGAUUCAUACGACAUGUCAGUUCGUGAUUGGUACAGAAUACGACUGGUCGGCUAAGAUCAUGCAAAGCCAUACGACAAAGCUGUUUGUUCAUCCAUAUGCGAAUAAGUCAAGCACGUGGUCGUCACAUGCUUAUACUUAUUCAAUACGACUUUGCUGAGUACCGUUUUAGAGCCUUUAUUCAACGUGAAGCAAACACGUGGCUCUGAAGGUCGUUAUUUUCUGUUACAAGAGCGGGAAGAUCUGGUUUUUAUUGACAGAAGAGAGCUGACUGGUGGGGGUAAUUUUUGGGCUCACUUAAGCAUGUAUAUAUAGCCUUAAGUGAUGUGGAAUCAGGGUGUGUAAUGCUUGUAACUUCAUCUAAAGACUUGUAUCUUGUUCCUGGUGAUUGAAUAAAGAUUGUUGCUCUGUUCUUCAGUGGAUGUAAGCCAACUCCAGGCUGAACCACUUAAAUCUGUUUUUUUUGUUGGUUGUUGUUCUUUAGUUCCUUUUGUGUAUCUUUUAUUGUUGCUUAAGAAUUUCUUAAUCAAGCAUCAGAGUGUUUAGAUAAAUCUUGGGAAUCUUGGUUGAUUUAAUUCGAUCAAGGUCUAACAAAUCCGAACAAUCAUACUAAUUGAAUCUAAAUUUUAGAAUAUCUUUUGCAUCUUGAGAGAAGAGUUUUCAAAAUUAUGAAGGAAUAUGUCCAUAAAAAUCUAAGAGACAACUCACUAAAACUUCGUGAAUUUACCUUUUUUAGGGCUUUUUUUUCCUUUUCACAAAAUUAAAGAUAAGGGUAUAUUUAUCUUCAAAUGUUGUUAGCGGUAGUAUAUUUUUGAACCAAUCUUAAAUAAAACUUGAAAUCCCAAUAAAUUUCUGUAGAUUAUUACAAUAAAAAAAAAGUGCCGCAAUCUACACUAUCAUUUAUCGAAGGCUUUAUGUACACAAAAAUAAAGAAUGAACAAGAACAUGUAAAAUCAAUGUAGAUUCAUGGAUUACCUGCCAUCUGCAAUCAUAUUAAACUUCUAAUCAUUAAUUUCAUUGUCUAUUACGUUAAAUGCAAACACUAAAUAAAGUCGAUCUAAUUUGUUGAAAACCUAUAAAUUGCAUUAAUAAUAGCCUUUUUUUAUGUCUCCUUAUCAUAUCAAUUUCAAUGUAAAUCUUUCCACCAUCCCCAAUAAACCAUGUACCAUUUCCAUGAUAAUUCAAUAUCAAGAAAACUUCAUAUGAUUUAGCAUAUCACAUGCCCUAUCAAUCAAGGUCAACCUUCUAGACGAACUUUUUUUUUUAAUGAAAAAGUAAAGCUUUCAUUACUUCAACCCGGUGAAUACAUGUCUAAUCUUAGGUGGGAAAUUUUCCACCCAUACAAAAGAUUCCAACUUUUCCAAUGCUAUUUUAGCUAAAAGAUGGGCACUAGUAUUACAAGCUCUGGGCACAUAUUUUGUUUUGAAAGAACUGAAGGUUUUCUUUAAGCUUUGAAUUUCUGAAAUAGUCCAACAUAUCUCUGUUAAACUCCUUUCUCUAUCGUUUAUCGAAUCUACUACUUCUUGAGAGUAUGUUUCCAGAAUUAUUGAUUGCAUACCCAUCUAAUGGGCUAUUUGCACUCCCCAUUCAGCUGCUUCUGCCUCCACACUUGACACCUCUCCGUUGAACUUUACAUUUUUUAUGCCUGCAGCUAUGCAUUUUCCAGUAGAGUCUUUUAUUAUUGCACCUAAUCCAGCAUAACUCUUAUUUGAAUCAGUAGCUGCAUCAACAUUGAUCUUUAGCCAUCUAUGGGGUGGGAGAGUCCAGACUGUUUUCUUUAUCUUCUAUAAUUUUUCUUCAUUCGUAAUCUCUGGAAACUAAGUUCUUCUGAAAGCCUUAUUAAUUGCUUUAGCUUUGGCCAUUGAUAAUCUUGGGUCUAACUUCAAAUCUUCACAAACAAAUUGGUUUCUAUCAUACCAGAUCACCCAAAGGAUAUUCAUCAUCAUUUCCAUGUCAGCUCUACUUAGCUUCUUCUGUAAUCUCAUUAAGUCUCCUAAAAUAUCAGGAUUUCCCAUUUCCUGAAAGGAACUUGCCAGAGGUGAGAGUUGCCAAACUUUCUUUGCAGCUUUACAAGUAAUCAGAGCAUGCAUGGUGUUUUCCACUCUAUUUCCACAUUGUUUGCAGUAGGCCUCAUGAACAAUCUUUCGCUUCCACAAAUUUUCAGCUGUGGGCAAUAAAUUUUUUACUACCCUCUAGAUGAAAAUCUUGAUUUUGGCCGGGAGAGUGAGCUUUCAAAUAAAACUCUAGUUACUAUUACUACUAUUAGAGCAAUUAGGAGAAUCUGGAAAUUUUAAAUUUAGAGCCACUUGGUAUCCACUUUUCACUUUAUAUUUCCCUCUUUUAUCGUUGUGCCAGAUUACUUUAUCUUCAUUUUGUCUUCUAGGCAAGGGAAUGCUUAGAAUGGCUUCUGCAUCUUCCUUCACAAAGUUCUGCUGAAUCAGAUUUGUCUUCCAAUUAUUUUCGUUAUCUACCAGCACUGAAGCAUCUUUAUUCUAGAAAGAGGCUUGAAUGUUGAUGGUCUUGGAAUCCAGUUGCCUCUGUACACUGAAAUUGUCUCCCUAUUUCUUAUUCUCUACCUAUAUCCAUUGUGAAUUAUCUGCCUUCUGUUGAGUGUUAGAAAAUGUAUAUUUAUAAAGGGGAAAUCGUCAUUUUAUACUUCAAGUUUUACUAACAUUAUUACUUUUAUAUAUUUAAGCUUUUUGUGAUUUAAUUAUGUGUGUUUUAUUUUAAUUAAGUAUUUUAUAUAUUUUAGGGGCAUCAUGGUCAUUUUACAAUGAACGAUAGCUCAGACGACAGAACGAGAGCUCAGACUUUUGAACUCAGGACAGUCGAAAACUUUAGGAGGAGCAUAAAAAGAAAAAUGGCACUGUUCACAUAUAUGAUACUAUUCACAUGUACGGUACUGUCCAUAUUACUGUUCACACAUACGGAACGAUGACGUGGAAUUGUCCGAUGAUGUGGCAUUGACUGAUGAGGUGUCACGAUUCCAUUGGAGAAAAUUCUUAUGCACUGUUGAUCGGUGACGUGGCAGCAUGUUAGUGGACCAAAAAUCGCGCGUACAGUACAAUAGAUUCGUGCGCUUGCGAGUUCAAUAAAAUUUGCACAACAAGUUUUUGGCGCCGUUUCCGGGGAGGUAAGUUAUUUUAAUUUGUAGAAUUAAUUUUUGUAAAUAAUUUCUUUUAAUUGUUUUCUUGUAAUUUUUUUCUUAUUAAAAAAAAGAGUAAAUCUGCAUUUAGAGGUAAGAAUUUCUUUUCAUUUUCUCUUCUUUAAAUUUUUGUAAUUUAAUUUUUAAGUUAUUUUUCUUUGUAAUUUUUCGUUUAUCUUAUUAAUUUAUUUCACAUAUUUUUUAGUGUUUUUUUUAUAGAAAGAUUUUAAUAGUGUAAUAAGGUUAGUACCGUAAUUUCUCCUUCUUUUUUAUUUUUAUUUAUUUUGUUUCCAUUUAUUUUUCUGUUCUUUGCAUGCAUGGUCGAAGGUCAUUAUUACCUAAUCUUGAACCUAUAGACCUUGAACUUAAAAAAACAUUUCGCACACACAAACACGUUAAAAAAAAUGGAUUUGCAACAACAACCAGCACCACAGGAGAGGCCAUUUAAGGACUAUUUCAGUCCCUUAGCUAAUUUGAGCACAUCAUGCAUAAGAUACCCAAAUGUAGCUGUUAGGAAUUUUGAAUUAAAACCUAGUGUGCUAAAUUGUCUCCCAACAUUCUAUGGCCUAGAAAAUGAGGACCCAUAUAAUCAUUUGAAUGAUUUUCAUGCUGUUUGUCAAACAUUUAAAUAUGAGAAUUUUUCAGAUGAUUAUGUUAAACUCAGAUUAUUCCCAUUUCUUUAAAGGAUAAAGCUCGUUCAUAUCUCAAUACAUUGCCUGCUAAUAGCAUUAUAUCAUAGGAACAAAUGGUAACAAAAUCUUUGAAUAAAUAUUUCCCAGUGCAUAAAACCAAUGUUAUUCACAGGGAAAUCUCAGAGUUUACCCAGAGAGAAGACGAGCAGUUUUUCGAAACAUGGGAGCGAUUCAAUGAGCUACUCUUGAAGUGUCCACAUCAUGGGUAAGAGAAAUGACACCAAUGCUAAUACUUUUUGAAGGGAUUAUUGCCGCAUGUGUAAGAAUGGCUAAUGGCAACAAGUGGAGGAGAGCUAAUGUCAAAAAGUGCAUAAGAGAUUUGUGAAUUCUUUCAGCGACAAGCAGAUAAUUCCCAAUAACGGAGUCGAUCACUCAAGAAUACUAAAAGAAUUAAAGGAGUGAAUGAGGUUAACGUUGGUGAGUCAAGUUCGGAAAUUAAAGAAGUCAAAGAAAUGGUUGAAGGUCUCUCGAAAAAUAACAUCAUUAACGAUUGCUAAAUCAACAGAACCACAUGACCAUGACAAAACCAUCAAAUUACAACCCAUACUCCAACACAUAUAACCCUAGAUGGAGAGUCCACCCCAAUUUUUCAUGGUCUCAAGGAUUCCAACAGAAUGGACUAGCAGCUCUAGCUCCACCAAUGCAACCAAUUCCUCAAGUUCCUCAAGCCUCUUAGCCCCCAUUUAGACCAUACUAUCAGAACUAGAACUAAUCUCAACCCAGACCAUGGGAGGAUUCAUUCCAGAAUCUCAAGAAUCUUAAGAAUCUUACUCACUCCACGAUCGAGCAACAGAACCGCACCAUUGAUGAACUACGAAAUGAGAUAAGAGCAGUCUUCAACUGACAAGCCCAAUCAGUUUCAAGCCUCGAGAAGAUGGUGGGACAGCUUGCUUCUUCAGUUCAGACCUUGACAAUGACUGUUGAGAAAGACAAGUUUCCAAGUCAACCAGUGCCUAAUCCUAAAAGAGUGCAUGAAACAAGUAUUAAUUCACCACAGCAGCACGGAGAGGUCGAAGCUGUCAUGAACUUGCGAAAAGGAAAAGAAGUCGACAACAAAAUAGAGAUGUCGGUGACGAAAACAAAUCAAAUUGUACCUCUAAAUGUUGAAAACUCACCACUGGAGGAGAAAGAAGAAACCAACCCACGAGAAUAUGUUCCGAAAUCUCCAUUUCCUCAUAGGUUAGCUAAGGGAAAGAAAGGAAAAUCCACAGGUGAGAUUCUUGAAAUCUUCAAACAGGUAAGUGUUAACAUCCCUUUACUUGAUGCUAUAAAAUAAGUUCCAUCUUAUGCCAAGUUUCUUAAAGACCUUUGUACUAAAAAGAGAAACAUCCAUGUUUAAAAGAAGGUCUUUUUAACAGAAAAAGUUAGUUCUAUACUCCAACACAAAAUUCCUCUAAAAUGCAAAGACCCAGGCUCCCCCACUAUCUCAUGUAGCAUAGGAAACCACACAAUUGAGAAUGCUUUGUUGGAUUUAGGAGCUAAUGUAAAUCUGUUGCCUUAUUCAAUAUUUAUAAAACUUGGACUGAGAGAAUUACACCCAACUCCAGUGGUGUUACAACUUGCAGAUCGGUCUAGAAAAAUAUCUCGUGGUAUUGUGGAGGACGUGCUUGUCCAGGUAGACAAGUUUUAUUUUCCUAUUGAUUUCAUUGUAAUUAACACUUAACCAAUCCAGGAUUCAAGGAAGCACAUCCCCAUUAUCCUAGGCCGACCUUUCUUGGCAACUACGGAUGCUCACAUUCAAUGCAGAACUGAAAAUAUGCAGUUGUCUUUUGGCAACAUGACUAUGGAGCUAAACAUUUUCAACAUUGCCAAACAACCUCACAAUGCAGAUGAUGGAAUUGUUGAUGUGGAUUUAAUAGAAACAUUAGUUGAUAAUACUUUUCUUUCAAACCUUAGUGAUAACCUUUUACAAACAUGCUUAAUUUACUUUGGUUUGGAUUUUGAUAUUAACAGAUCGGUCGAUGAGGUCAGCACCCUACUUGACUUAGCACAAUCCAUUGACACUAAUAAAUGGAAGUCAAUAGUUGAACAACUAGCACCAUUAGAGAAGAAACUCAUCCCAUCAUUAGAAUCACCACCGAAACGCGAGCUCAAACCAUUACCCAACACUUUAGAACAUGUGUUUUUGGGAGAAGAAAGUACUCUGCCGGUAAUCAUCUCAUUAUCCCUAAACGACGAACAAAAAAGUAAGUUGUUGGAUAUUUUAAAAGAACACAAAGGAGUAUUAGGAUGGACCACAGCUGACAUAAAAAAGGUAUAAAUCCAGUAUACUGAAUGCAUUAUCUUCACCUUGAUGAAAAUACUAAACCUACUAGAGAAAUGCAACGUCUGUUAAAUCAUAAUAUGAAAGACGUUGUUAGAACUUAAGUCCUUAAGCUAUUAGACGCAUGUAUCAUUUACCUCAUUUCUGAUAGUUUAUAGGCCAAUCUUGUACAAGUUGUCCCCAAAAAGUUAGAAGUCACAAUAGUUACAAAUGCUGAUAAUGAAUUGAUACCCACUAGAGUGACUACAAGAUGUCGUGUAUGCAUUGAUUAUAGAAAGUUGAAUUCUGUCAUGCGUAAAGACCAUUUUCCUUUACCAUUUAUCGAUCAAAUACUUGAUAGAUUAGCAGGUCAUGAAUUGUAUUGCUUCCUAGAUGGCUACUCAUGAUAUAAUCAGAUUCACAUAGCACCAAAAGAUCAAGAAAAUACCACUUUCACUUGCCCUUUUGGCACUUUUGCAUAUAGGAGGAUGCCAUUUAGAUUAUGUAAUGCACCUACUACAUUUCAACGAUGUAUGUUAAGCAUUUUUUUCUGAUAUUGUUGAACGAUUCCUAGAAGUAUUUAUGGAUAAUUUUUCUCUCUUUGGUGACUCGUUUGAUCAAUGUUUACAUCGUCUAACACUAGUUCUGUAGAGAUGUAUUGAGAAGAACUUAGUCUUAAAUUGAGAGAAGUAUCAUUUUAUGGUAAAAUAAGGUAUUGUUCUUGGUCACAUCAUUUCAAGCAAAGGUAUUGAGGUUGACAAAGUCAAGGUAGAUCUCAUUUAUAAUAGUCCUCCACCCAAAACAGUAAGAGAAGUAAGAUCUUUCCUUGGGCAUGCUGGUUUUUAUAGACGUUUCAUUAAAGAUUUUAGCAAAGUUUCUAGACCCUUAUGCAAUCUAUUUUAGCAAAGUUUCUAGACCCUUAUGCAAUCUACUUGCUAAGAAUGUACAUUUUAUCUUUGAUGAUUCAUGUCUUGUGGCGUUUAAAAAAUUGAAGCAGUUGUUGACAUCAUCACCCAUCAUUCAACCUCAAACUGGAGCUUACCAUUUGAGCUCAUGUGUGAUGCAUCUGAUUAUACAGUAGGACCAGUAUUAAGACGAAGAGUUGAUCGACUUCGUCAUGUUAUUUAUUAUGCUAGUAUGACAUUAAAUGAUGCACAUUUGAAUUAUUCAACUACUGAAAAAGAAAUGCUAGUAGUGUGNNNNNNNNNNNNNNNNNNNNNNNNNNNNNNNNNNNNNNNNNNNNNNNNNNNNNNNNNNNNNNNNNNNNNNNNNNNNNNNNNNNNNNNNNNNNNNNNNNNNNNNNNNNNNNNNNNNNNNNNNNNNNNNNNNNNNNNNNNNNNNNNNNNNNNNNNNNNNAAAAAGGCGCAGAAAAUGUCGUGGCUGACCAUCUCUCUCGUCUCCAUUUUGACACAAUUACAGAACCAUUAACAUUGAAUGAGUCAUUCCCAAAUGAACAAUUGAUGAGUGUGGAAGUAUUACCAUGUUAUGCUGGCAUCGUGAAUUAUCUUGUUACAGGUCAACUUCCAGAGCAUUGGACCAAGCAAGACAAAGCCAAUUUUUUUGUGGAAAUAAAAAAUUUCUUUUGGGAUGACCCUUAUCUGUUCAAGUAUUGUGCAGAUCAAAUUGUUAGAUGAUGUGUCCCAGAAAGUGAAAUUUAGAAUAUUCUUUCAUUCUGCCAUGAACAAGCUUGUGGAGACCAUUUCCGUGCUAAAAAAAUAACUAUUAAAGUUUUACAAUGUGGUUUCUAUUGGCCAACUAUAUUUCGAGAUGCUUACACUUUUUGUUCUUCAUGUGAUAGGUGUCAACGAAUGGGGAGCAUUACAUGAAGGAAUAUGGUGCCACUAAAUUCAAUUUUAGUAGUUGAGUUUUUUUAUGUAUGGGGUAUCGACUUCAUGGGAUAUUUUCCCCCUUCUUUUGGCAAUUAAUACAUAUUGGUUGCUGUUGACUACGUACCGAAAUGGGUAGAAGCAAUUCCAUGUAGAACCAAUUAUCACAAGGUGGUGAUAGAAUUUUUGAGAAGCAACAUUGUUUCACGCUUUGGAUUCCCUCGAGCAAUAAUCAGUGAUGGUGGUGCCCACUUUUGUAACAAAGCAUUCAAAACUCUUUUGACGAAGUAUUCAAUCACUCACAAAGUGGCGACCCCAUAUCAUAUACAAACUAGUGGUCAAGUUGAAAUCUCCAAUCGAGAAAUAAAGCACAUAUUAUAAAAGACGGUGAGGUCGGACAUAAAAGAUUGGUCAUUAAGACUCGAUAAUGCAUUAUGGACAUAUAGAACAGCUUUCAAGACCCCGAUUGGGAUGUCACCCUACAGGCUAGUGUAUGAAAAAGCUUGCCACUUACCUGUGGAACUCAAGCAUUGUGCAUACUGGGCCAUCAAGAAAUUCAACUUUGACAUGUAGCAAGCUAGCUCAGAAAGAAGAUUACAGCUGACAGAACUUGAAGAAAUUCGCACUGAUACAUACGAAAAUGCCAAGAUUUACGAACAGCAAAUGAAAGUUGUUGAGUGUUAGAAAAUGUAUACUUAUAAAGGAGAAAAUUAUCAUUUUACAUUUCAAGUCUUACUAACAACCCUCACUUUUAUGUAUUUAAGGUUCUUGUAAUUUAAUUAUGUGUGUUUUAUUUUAAUUAAGUAUUUUAUAUAUUUUAGGGGCAUCAUAGUCAUUUCACAAUAAACGAGAGAUCAGAUGGCAAAACGGACAUCACUUUUGAACUCAGGACGGUCGAAAACCUUAGGAGGAGCAUAAAAGGAAAAAUGACACUGUUCACAUGUACGGUACUAUUCACAUGUACGGUACUGUAUACGUUACUGUUCACGGCACUGUUCGAUGACGUGGCAUUGACCGAUGAUGUGGCAUUGACUGAUGAAGUGUCACGAUCCUGUUGGACUAAAAAUCUUAUGUACUGUUGAUGGUGACGUGGCAGCAUAUUAGUGGACCAAAAAUCUCGCGUACGGUACAUGCAUCACACAGGAUUAUUUUCAACCAAACUGCGUCACUAUUCACCCGAGUCAAACCGUGUUACUGUUCAUCCGCGUGGUCAAACCGCGUACUGUUCACGCGUGUUGUUGACUGAUAACGUGGCGAAAUCCUGAGCGUCCAAACUGUUUUUAAUCCGAUGGCCAUGAUUUACUCCAUGUAUCUAUAAAAAGGGGGCCUCCCCCUCUAAUUUGAUAUCUCUGAAUCCAUUUUUGAGAUCCAUUUUCUAUAAUUCCCUCUCCAUCUUGUAUUUUCUUUGUAUUUUAAUAAAUUUCUAUUUUGCCCCUAGUUUAAUUAUGAGUGGCUAAUUUUCUUUCAAGCUUGGGUUGAAGGUAAAGUCUCAACAUGUGUCAUGGGCUUUAUUUGGUAAAUUUAUUUUCUCUUCCCCUCUAGUUUUUAUGGAUGUUUUGACUUCUCGUCGACAAAUAAUACUAAUCUUGUCUAGUACCGCCUUGGUUUCACCGGCCCUCUAGUACAAGGUUAUUAUUAUUUGGCACGAUAAGCACUUAGCAUCAUAUUGAUUAGAGGGUGGUUCAUGAGGUGUGGAUUCCCCCCUCAUGAUUUAAUUGGCAUUAAUAAGGAUUAUUUAGUCCAUGAUGCAUGUUGAUACGGAUCCAGAUACCUAAGUACGUCAUUUCAAUAGAAUUCUCUUAAAUUUAUUCUCACCAUUUCAAUACCAAUUUUAGAAUUUAUUCUCGCCAUUUUAAUUUAAGUUUUAGUAUAUUGCAAAUCAUUUCCACCACAAAUCCAAUUACUCAUUCACAAAAUUAAUUCUACACAAUUAAAAUCCACCUCCUCGUGGGAUCGAUACUCGUCACCAUUGAUCUAUACUACAAUAGAUUCGUGCGCUUGCGAGUACAUUAAAAUUUACACAACAAAAGUCUUUCAUGACAAGCAAAUUAUGAGAAAAUCUUUGACUCUAGGUCAGAAAGUGCUUUUAUUCAAUUCUCGCUUGCACCUAUUCCCAGGUAAGUUAUGCUCUCGAUGGUCUGACUCCUUUAUUGUUCACACUGUUUUUCCACAUGGGCAAUUGAAAUUAAGGACCCAAAGAAUGGUGUCACGUUUAAAGUUAAUGGUCAAAGAUUAAAGGUAUAUCUAGAGUACCAACCACAUGGAGAGAACACCGAAAUAAAUUUGAGCGACCCACCAGAUUUGAAUUGAGUUUUUUUCUUUCUUUUCGGUGAUUUAUUUUUUUAUUUAUUUUUACUAUUCUUUUGGUAAUUGAAAUUAUUUUUCCAUAAGUGUGUUUGUUUAACCAUUAAGUUUUCUUUUAUCAUUACUAAUCAUGAGUGCCAUAGCUAAACAAUUCCUCUUGGACAUUCUUAGACCACUUCAACGUGUAAAAUCUCAUUUCAAAAGGCAGAUUCGAUUUUGUAAAACACAUCAUAUUUGGGCUCUGCAACCACCAGAGUUAGUAUCCCAUGUUGAGGAUUUAGAAAGUCAACUUAGAGACAUUGAGAGAGAUGUCUACAACAUCCAGUUGGAGCUUGAGGUAAAUUCAAUAAGAGGACGAUUGUAAUUUUCUUUAUGUGUUUUAACUUAUUUUUCUUUGUUUGUGUGCUUUAGUUUGUUACCCCGAUGAAUUGGCAGAUAACAGUACUCCGUGAUAAUCAAGUCGGUUACUUUAGUUUCUCAUAAUAACUAAUCUUCUGAGGCAAAUGUAUGGACAGAAACGAGAUUCUAGUAAAUCUUCACAAUCGAUUCCUUUCACUUCCUCAGAAUGCCCUCCUUACAAUCUAUAAAGCUCGGUAUGAACGCAUGCGAUUGCUGAUGAGGAAUAACAUACCUGCUGAUAUCCGCUGGUUAAUCAAGGCAAAAGUACAAGUGGCAGGUGAGUUGCCUCCUAAAUUUAUUGCAUACAUGCCUAGUUGUGGUAAUGGAAAUUAUGCAAGAAAACAAAGAGGUCGAAGAAUUUCAGUUGCUUGUCAUAAGUGUGCCAGAAUGAGAUGCGAUAAAAAAUCAUGUUCUUUAGGAAUGGUGUCUGAUAAUAGAGAAGAUAAAAUUAAAUUCAUUACGGAUGACUUGAAUAAUGAGUCAUUGGAUGAUAUCCUUUUGUCUCUUGAAACACACCCCAGUGGAUAUGUACAAGGAGCGAUUCUCCAGCUAUAACCAUUAUUCUAGAAAGAGAAUACACGAUAUAGUGUCGGGAAUCUGACUAUAAACGACCAUGUUUGCCAGUUUAUAAGAAAACUGGAUGGGAAGUCUAUCCUCGACCCAUAGAGGGCGUUCAAGUCGUUUCUGGACGUAAAACCAGAGGAAGAUGUGAGCCACAGUCGCAACUACCUGUAAAUAUCUUUUUAUUUCACUGUUAUUUUAUUUCACUGUUGUUUUAUCAUUUGCAUUAUUGUCUUUAAUAAUUUUAUUUUAUCAUUUUUUCUUUUUACUGUUUGCUUUUUGACUCUCAAGCCAUGUGUUGUACGCAUUAAUUGACAUUGACAUGCUACCUCAUACAUAGCUAUGACCCACUGUCACCAAGAUCCUUAAAUAUAAUUUGUUUUGUUUAGCACUCACAAAUUAUUUUUGAGAAGUAUCCCAAUGGCAGCUACUCCAAAUAAACAAUUCAAAAACAUUUGUGUGCUUUCUAGAUUUAAUUAUGGCAAACAUAAAGAGUUCAUUGAGGCAGCCAUAGAUCUUGGUAGAAGUAUAGCAGAGAGAAAACUACAAUUAUGGCAAACAUCUUGGGCCCAUCUGCAUAUUCACCAAAAACUCAUCGGUUUGUUAAAUGUUAAUAACUUUUAUGAUGGCUCUAUCGCAUUUCUUAACCAUGCAAUAAAAAACUAUUUUAUUCCUUCCACAGCGAAAAAGCUUUUUAUUUGUGCUCAUACUGCUAAUGAGCUACUUGAUCUGUUACAAACUUAUCGACCAGAACCAGAUCCCAGGACCUUGGUGUUAGAGUUUCCAAAUAAUGAUGGUAACAGUAGCCGCAGUAAGAAGUACAAAUUAGAUUUAACUCUCCGCCUGUAAAUAUUUUCUUCUAUGUUACACCACCCAGGUGAUGUCUUCUAAACUCUACUUCUUUCCUUUAAAAUAUUGAGGACAAUGUUUCAUUCUAAUUGGGGGGAGGGAAUAAUCGACAAUUGUGGAAUCUUGGUUAAGUUUUUACUAAUUUUUUGUUGUAGAGACUAACCGUAGCUAACUUUUUGUGUUGAAGAUGGCUGAAUAUGGAAUGUAAUUACUCUAGAAACGAAUUUUCUUCGUUUAAAAAAAAUAAAAUAAUAAUAAUAAUAAUGUUGUUUGAAAAAAAAUUGUGUGAUUUGUUUUAACAUUGGAUGACAUGAUGAAUUUUAAAAUUUAGUAUUUAUAUUAUCUUUGGUCUUAAGAGAUGUUACGCCAUAUUUGCUACUCUACAUGUUGAUGUCGGAGACAAAUAUGAGUUGCUUGAAGGAAUAAACAUGUCAUAAUAAGUACCAAGUGAGUUUUGGAGCCUAUCAUUUUUCUUGGAGAGUAACCAUUUUGCUCAUUCUUCAUACAACUUAGUAGUUUAUUAUUUUAUACACGAUCUCUAUAUUUCUUUUGAAUUAACCUUUAAAACAAUUUGUAAAAUUAAAAAAAAAGAAAAAAAAAUGUGUGUUGCUACAUCUAGAGGCUCAUCUAACUAGUAGAUAUGGAAGAUUAUUUAGAGCUUUAAAAGACGAUGGAAAAGCCAUCUUUGAUCCGUUUGAGCCUUUGUAGCUAUCCCUUUUAUGAAAUAUUCAUAGUUAACCCUUUAAAGCCUUUAAAAAAAAACUUUUUUUUUUGUCAAACUUAUCAUCUUGACCCACUCCGAUUUGGAGUAUUACCCGAUAUCUUACAAGUUCCAUCACCUAUUUAUUUUGAGAAAAAUGUAAAUAAUUAUGUUGUUCAGUGAAGUUGUGCCAAACAAAAGCAAAACAAAAAACAAAAAAAAAUUGUUGUUUCAAAAAAAAAGAAAAAAAUAACAAUAAUAAGUGAAAUCUACCUUACAACUUCCAAAAAAAAAAACUCUACAUUUUUCUUAAACAUAUACUUUGUUUUCCUUAUUUCCCCUCCUUUGUUAGCCAUAUCCUUAGCCUACAUUACGUCUUAAUAAAAGACCUUCUUGAUUUUAGGGAACUAUAGUCUGAAGUAGAAGCUAGUUAUAUGGGCUAAAAAGAUAUAGUGAUGCAUAAAAAAAAGAUAAAAAUAAAUAAAUUGGGUUUACUAGCAUUUUUAUUUGACUUGAGAUCGUAUUAUUUUUAAGUUGAGGGUAUAUUUCUUUCAUCUUGUUGAAAGCGUGUGAUAUCACUUCUUUAUUAUUUUCUCUCAAUUACCAUUCAUUGGAGUGACUAUUUUUAUUGAGUUUAAUUUCUUUGUGAGAGUGUCACUAUUUCCAAUGAGAUUUUGAGGUUUAACAUGUCAUUCUUGAAAGUAGCUAUGACAAAGUCUACUGGGCUGAUUCAUAUGGAUGGUUGUUAUGUGUGUGAUGUUUCUUUAGACUGGAGAUAAUUCUUAUACUUUUAUUUGAUUACUAUCAUUAGUCUGAUUGAAUAAACAUAAUUGUUAAAAAAAAAAUCAUUUUGGAUUUGAAUUUUGUUUUCGCUUUAUUUGCUAGGGACUGGCAAUAAGCUGGUUGGGGGGUAUAUUGAGUGUUAGAAAAUAUAUAUUUAUAAAGGAGAAAAUCGUCAUUUUAUACUUCAAGUUUUACUAACAUUCUUACUUUUAUGUAUUUAAGUUUCUUGUGAUUUAAUUAUGUGUGCUUUAUUUUAAUUAAGUAUUUUAUAUAAUUUAGGGGCAUCAUGGUCAUUUCACAAUGAACUAGAGCUCAAACGACAAAACGGACAUCACUUUUUGACUCAGGACAGUCGAAAACCUUAAGAGGAGUAUAAAAAGAAAAAUGGCAUUGUUCACAUGUACGAUACUAUUCACAUGUACAGUACUGUCCAUGUUACUGUUCACGACACUGUUUACACAUAUGGAACGAUGACGUGGCAUUGACUGAUGAUUGUGGCAUUGACUGAUGAGGUGUCAUGAUUCCAUUGGAGAAAAUUCUUAUGCACUGUUGAUCGGUGAUGUGGCAGUAUGUUAGUGGACCAAAAAUCACGCAUACGGUACAUGCAUAUACACAGGAUUAUUUUCAAUUAAACCGCAUCACUGUUCAAGCCGGUUGACUAUUCAAACCAUGUGGUCAACCCGUGGCACUGUUCAAACCGCGUACUGUUAACUGAUGACGUGGCGAAAUCCUGAGCGUCCAAACUAUUUUUACUCUGAUGGCCAUGAUUUACUCAAUGUAUCUAUAAAAAGGAGGCCUCUCCCCCUAAUUGGACAUCUCUAAAUUUAUUUUUGAGCUCAAUUUUCUCUAAUUCAUUCUCCAUCUUGUAUUUUCUAUGUAUUUUAAUAAAUUUCCAUUUUGCCCCUAGUUCAAUUAUGAGUAGCUAAUUUUCUUUCAAGCUUGGAUUGAAGGUGAAGUCUCAACAUGUGCCAUAAGCUUUAUUUGGUAAAUUUAUUUUCUCUUCCCCUCUAAUUUUUAUGAAUGUUUUGACUUUUCGUCGACAAAUAAUAAUAAUCUUAUCCAGAUAUUGUCCUGGUUUCACUGGCUCCCUAGUACAAGGUUAUUAUUAUUUGGCACGAUAAGCCCUUAGCACCAUAUUGAUCAGAGUGUGGUUCAUGAGGUGUGAAUUCCCCCUCAUGAUUUAAUUGGUACUAAUAAGGAAUAUUUAGCUCAUGAUGCAUGUUGAUAUAGAUCCAGAUACUCAAGUGCUUUAUUUCAAUAGAUUUCUCUUCAAUUUAUUUUGGCCAUUUUAAUUUAAAUUUUAAAAUAUUUCAAAUCAUUUUCACUACAAAUUCAUCCACCGAUUUGGAAAAUUAAUUCUACACACAAUUAAAAUCAACCUCCUCGUGGGAUCGACACUUGUCACCAUUGAUCUAUUCUAUAAUAGAUUCGUGCGCUUGCGAGUUCAAUAAAAUUUGCACAACACCUUCCCCACAUUAUGCUCCUCCAAAUAUAGGAUGGAUUUGACCUUAUGGAAACUCCAAGAAAAUCAGUCAUUAGGAAAUACCUUGCCUUUAGUACUCUAGCUGCUAAGGAUUUCAGAUUUUGAAUUAUUCUCCAACCUUGUUUCGUAACUAAGGCUUGGUUGAAACUUGAUAUGUCUCUGAACCCCAUCCCUCCUCUAAUCUUGGCUCUACUCAUUUCCUCUCAUCUUGUCCAGGGAAUGCCUCUCUUUUCUUUCUUCUUGCUCCACCAAAAACCAGCAUUAUUUCUUUGAAUGUCAUCACAGAGCCCCACGGGAAUCUUAAAGACACUCAUAGCAUAAGCUGGUACAGCUUGUGCCACAACUUUGAUCAAGACUUCUUUCCCCCCACUCAAGAAGAGUUUUUGCUGCCAAUUAGAUAUCUUGCUCUGAAUUUUCAGUUUGAUCUCAUUGAAAAAAGUCUUCUUUUUUCUCCCGAUCAUAGAUGGUAGCCCUAGAUAUUUCUCGUGUCUUGACAUCACAUUGAGCUGGAAAAUUCUUUCAAUGUCUGAGGCCUGCUUUGCUGGAGCAUUUCCACUAAAAAACAUGCAUGACUUAUUAUAAUUGAAGAUUUGCCCAAAAGCUUUAGCAUAGCACUCAAAGAUGUUUUUCAAGUGCUGGCAGUCUUUGGUUAAAGCUUGAGAGAAAAUCAAGCUGUCAUCUGCCAAUAAAAGAUGAGAAAUGGAUAUUUAUUGCCCAAAUCUCAGCCCCUAAAUUUAUUUUUUCCUCUCAGCUUGUAUCAAUAAAUUUGAAAACGCUUCAGCACAUAUUAUAAAACAAAUAUGGGGAUAGAGGGCAGCCUUGCCUCAAACCCCUUUGAGGGGGUAAUCAUCCCCUGAGGAACUCCAUUGAUGAUUAUAGAAAAGGUUGGAGAAGUAAUACAAUUCAUUAUCAGAUUAACGACCUUCUCCUCAAAGCCUAAUCUACCCAUUGUCAACCUUAAAAACUCCCAUUCCACUCCGUCAUAAGCUCUACUUAUGUCUGACUUCAGAGCCACCAAUCCCCUUUUUUUUUUCCUUUGCUAUGUCUAAUCUUGUGAAGGCAUUCAUACUCAACAAUGAUAUUGUCGGUUAUCAAUCUGUUGGAAAUGAAUGCGCUUUGAGAAACAUCAAUGACAUCAUGCAAAAUAAUUUUCAAUCUAUUUGCCACUGUUUUGUCAAUGAUUCUAUAGAUUACAUUGCAAAGGCUUAUUGGUCUGAAUUGCGUCACUUUCUUAGGCUUGGCACACUUUGGAAUUAGAGCAAUAUAGGUGUGGUUUAACUGGGUAAUUGUACUUGUGUUAUUAAGGAUGUGAAGGCAUAUAGAGAUAACUCCUUCCUUUACAUAUUUCCAAUACUUCUGAUAGAAAGCAGCAGGUAACCCAUCCGGUCCGGGAGCCUUAGUUGGACACAUUUGAGCCAGGGCUUCUAUAAUCUCCUCUUUUGUGUAGGGUUGACUCAUGUCUGUGUUCAUUUCUGGUGACACUUUUGGCCUCAUUCCUCUUAGAGCAUCUUCCAUCUGAUCUUUGGUGGGGUUGGAAGUUAAGAAUAAGUCUGUAAAAUACUCACAAAAUUGUUUAGCAAUUUCACCAGUCUCUUUGAUCUAAUUACCGUGAGCAGCUUUUAUUCUCUAGAUUUUAUUUUUUUUCUCUUUCUAGAUGAGGCUUUGAGAUGAAAAAAUUUCAAAUUUUUAUCUCCCUCUCUAAGCUAAUCCGCCGUGGACCUCUGCUUUCAAUAAAUCUCUUCAUCCAGCAGGAGAUGGUGGAUCUGUCUUUCAUACCUCCAUUUGUGUUGCUGAAGGUCCUUGAUUCUGUUGACCAGCUUUUCAAGCUUCUUUUUAUUGCCUUCAAAAGUCCUUUUGCUCUAGUGUAUGAGUUUUGCAAGUGAAGCAGUGCUGACAUGCUUAAAGAGCUUAACUACAUCAGUCCCCUCCCACUUACCAUGCUUGGACCAUUCCUCCUCAACAAUUUCUUGGCACUCAUUAUAAGAGCUCUAUAAAUCCUCGUAGUGAGUUCGAGAGAAACAUUUCCUCUUGUAUGCCCUUAUUUAUCUUUGCUCUUUACAGCCAUUAAUAUUGGGUUGUGAUCAGAACACGAUGUAACUAAAUUAGUUGCAGCUUGGUCCUGGAAGAAAUUUGACCAAUCGUUGCUGCACAUGAAUCUGUCUAAUUGUUCCUUAAUGAAGUGGGUUCCAAACCUCCUAUUGGACCAUGUGAAUGGGUAACCAUUGCAGCCCAAAUCUCUAAUAUUACAAUCUUGGACAGCUUCUCUAAAAUCUGUGAUCAUACUAAGUUCCCUAUCGUUCCCCCCAUUUUUCUCAUUGAAGUGCAUAAUUUCAUUAAAAUCACCGAAACAAAGCCAUGGGGAUGAAGACAAACCUGCUAGCCUUCUUAGUAGAGUCCAUGUGUGUUUUUUCUGGUUUGUUUCUGGAUGGCUGUAGAUCCCAGUGCAUCUCAUCUGAUCUCUAUUUUCAGUUACUAUCUCUGCAUUAAUGUGGUGGCUGUGAAGGAGGUGAUAUUCACAUUUGUUUCCAAAGUCCAUAACAUAGCUAAACCCCCGCUCUUUCCCUUACUGCUCACUACAAAACAAUUUUCCAUCUUUAGCUUUUUGCCAACAUUAUUCAUGCAUACAGUCUUCAGUUUAGUUUCACACAAGAAAAUCAACUAAGGCCUGUAUAAUUGGAAGAACUUUUUCAGAGCUAUGAACGUCCGGUCAUUCCCCAACCCCCGGACGUUCCAACUCAAGAUUUUCAUGGUUGUCGGCGAGGCUGCUCCUCAGCCUCCGCCGAUUGAAUUGCUGCAUGGUUGGUUUGUUCCUUGUCCACUGCAUCCAAAUCCUCCCAGUGAAGCUUGUGUUUGUGUAGAAGCCGAUUGUCUCCAAUUGGUCCUUAUUUUGUGUACCCUUUUUUAUUUACAUUUCUAGCCUAAAGUUUCCAUUUUCUUCGUUUGAGCCUAGCAUUUUUUGUUCCUGGCCCCUCAUACACCACCUCAUCUUUUCUAGGGCUUUGACUAGAAAUUGUAGUUGACUCUAGAUUUGGCGCCACGCUCAAAUUGGUUCCCUCCCUAUUUUCUGUUCCCGCUUCUUCUCUCUGUUUCUCAUAGCCACUUGGGCUCUCAGUUAUGUUUACAGCAGUAGCUGUGCUGGAUUGCUUCUGUACAUUCUCAUGCUGCUUCCUUCGUUCCAGCGUCAUUUGUAUUAAUUGCUCACCUGUCUUUAUUGUUUGGCUUUCAUUCUCACCCGAAUUUGGUUGGUUUAACCUGAGUUUGUUUUCAUCUGGAUCCAAGCCAAUAUGAUGUGGACGACUUCUCCUCUGGCUCUCUAGCUCCGUGAAGCCAUUGUUUUGUUGCUCCCCCUUUCUAUUCCAUUUGUCUCUGCCUCAGUUUAUUCUGGUUUUUUCUGCUUUUGAUAGAGCCCUCAUAUAAACCCCGUAAGGCAGAUUUUCUUUUGAUUGCCCUUCAUAUAAUACACAUUCUUUAAACUGAUGCCCAAUAAUACCACAACAGAAGCAGAAGUCUGGAAGUCGUUUAUACAAGCCCGGCAAUUCCACCUCAUCGUUAUCUUCCAACUCCAAGAAUACCAUUUUUUCUAAUGGUUUUAUAAUGUUGAUGGAAAUUCUGACUCUCGCAUACGGACCAAUGCAUUCCCCAUCAUCAUAUGUUUCCACUUCCAGAACCUCUCCUAACAACUCCCCCAGUUUUUGAACAUUUUCCCGAUCCAUACAUACUAUAGGCACAUUAUGAAUUUACACCCAAAAAGCUGCAUAUGUAAAUUCCUCCUUUCUCAUGUUUCCAAUCCCACUAGGUUCCUUUAGCACAAUCAACGAUCUGUCAAAAUGCAAGGUCCUCCUGCCAUCACCUUUCUUUUAUUUGUUUCCAAACCAAACUUAAAAAGGAAAAUAUUGUUUCCCAAGCUUUCAACUUUCACCUCUUUUAUUGUUCUCCAUGCUUGUGCUAAGGCGGUUUUGAUUCCUUCUGUUUGUAUGCUCCGUGCCAGCAGAACUUUGCCCACUAGAGAGUUUGCAAUUAUGCGUCCUCCUUGCCCUUGAGUUCCACCCCUGAGCGAUAGUUUUCUUCAUUGCCGUCUCGUAUGGAGAUAGCUUUGCAUUUCCUUACUAACUCCUCAGUAUCCAUUGGUAUUGAAUACAUCAACUAACCUCCACCUAUUUACUACCCUGAGUUUUCCAGUAUUUUUUGCCUACUCUCACUUUUAUAAAUGCACUCCCCUAAUGACACUCUCUGAAAAGGUUCAGAACCAAUCACUCAGUCUAAUGAGUGAAGAAUAGAGCCAUUAAAGCUCAAAAUAUACUCCAUUCUUUUGUUCUCUUUCGGAGAGAAAGAGAGCAUUCAACCUUCUGGACGAACUUGUACUUGUUGGAUUGAUUAUGAGAAUGAUUAAAUAAAUUAUCUGUUAAUGUGAAAGAUUGUAAAGUAUUGUUCUGCUAUUAUUGGCAGCAUGUGCCUAUGUCAUAUGAAAUAGAAUCUGUACUUUAUAUGUACUUCGAAAUAUUAGUUGAUAGAAUUCAAAGUAGGAGCAAAUCACGGCAACCAGUAAUGAAACUUCAUGCGGGGCUCCAACGCAUUAAUGAAGAAAUUUGUGUGGAAAUACCAUACUUGAGGUUUGGGAAAUGCUUGGACAAAGGGACACUUCUCGCGGCUAAUUUGGUGGCCCUAUAACGUGGUUUUCUUUUUUAUUUUUUCUUCCUUCGCUUUUGUCUUCAAAUUCAAUAUUAAAGUCAUUAUUUGCGUACUAAUCUUUUUGAACUAACUCAUUCUAUAAAUAUCCUAUUCAGUCUACUUGCUUCUUCAUCAUAGAAAAAAUGGCUUUGUUUCUCUUUCUUUGCUUUGCACUCAUUUUCUCAGCUCUAAGCAAUGGUGGCUCUGCUACCACUCGAGUUAUUCAUCCUCCUCGAUAUCUUGACAGUAAGCAUUUGUCGGAUCCUUAACUUUUGCUUCUUUUUUUUUUUUUCAUUUUAUAGCACAUACAAAACCCGUAACACAUUUGAUUAUGUAUUAAUUUGCUAAUUAAGCUACCGUUUGUACACGGAAGUAAAAAAUAAAAUAAAAUUAUAUAUAUAUAUGACGUGUGCUGUUUUUACAAAAAUAAAAUAAAAAACUGCCGGUUGCUUAUUUGGCUCCUUUAUUUGAGGAUAUUCUGUCACAUCGGCUGAGAAUAAUUAUUUAGCUAAUUAUUUAAAUUUAGGGUAACCCUCGACUCUUGAACUAAUUUCUUAAUAUAAGUUAAGUACAUGGGGAUUAAAUAAUCUUAUAUUGAGUUUCUUUUUUCUAAUUGUUUGUGUAGUCGAUGUGUCUUGCCAUGUAAUUUUGGCCAUUUGAGUGAGAUUAAUGUUGUUCUUCUAAUUCAAGAAAGAAACAUCUAUUGUUUAUGCGGUAAAAAUCUUAAUUUUUAAAUAAAAACACACAUAAUAUCAGUGACUUAUUAUUCCACCGAAGUUAUAUCUCUGAUGUUCAUAAAUUUUUGGUCUAAAAUGUAUUUUAAUCUGCAGCACUUCUGCCAAAUGGAAACUUUGAACUCUCACCGAAGAAAUCAAAACUCAACAAAACGGUGAUACUCGGAAAGUGAUUGAUGCGCAUGGUAUGUAUUCUCAUAAAAUAUCGAAAUAUUGUACACGCAACCCAAAAAGUGAUAACAUCUGAAAGAAAAACAAUUAGUAAGGCCCUGACCUGGCUGUGGGUUUGUGUUCUCAAGUCUCAACUUUUGUUGUGGACACGAUUUGGAGUGGAUUCAACUAUUUCGCGAAUAUGGGUAAAGUAAAUGAGUAAUGACAAAAGUCAUAGACAAUUUUAAAUAAAUUGGUAUGCAUAAAUUGAGAUAAUAUAAAUAGAUUGGUUAAAAAGUGAUAAUAGUUUUUUUUAAAUUAUAUAGGUGUAUAAUGAUUUUAUAUACUUAUUUGUAUAAGAUAGUUGUAUCUCUAUCAUUAUUCUAUUACAAAUAUAUGUAAGCAGCAUUAAUAAACUUUUGGUCUAUACUAUAAAUUUAUGUAUUUAGGUUGUCUGUGAACUUCAUAUUAUAGUAUCUAUAGAAUGCAACCAACCAAAUUAAAAGACAUUGUAUUAAACAUUUUAUUUGAGGAAAAAGUUUCUCUCUCCAAAUUUUUGGCAGAUGUGCAAUGAAUUUCCUUCAAAAAAAAGACCAAAAAAAAAAAAAAAAAGAGAGACCCAACCAAUAAUCUUCGAAAUCCUAGAGACUAUAAAAUAAGAUCAACAAGCAAAGAAGCCAAUAUACAAAUAAAAUUCUCACUAGGCAACCAAAAUAAAAGAAAGAAUAUAUUCAUAUUGAAGACACAGAUUUAAAUUGUUAUGAUUCCAAUCACAUUAAAAAUGUAGGAUAGACAAUAUUUUAUAAUUAAGAGAUCAAAUGAUCAGGAUACCUUUAUCAGUUAAUCUCUCUUUUCUUUUGUUUUUUUCUUUCCUGUUCCCACUUGAACUUAAGCCCAGUGUCUGUGGUACAAUGUACUUUGCUAGUGUUUACAAUAUUUACAGUCAUGAAAUGCAUACGUUAUUGAAGUGAAAAAUGUGAAAUAAUAAAAUUUUCUUCAAUAUUUUGAUUUGCGGACCAAAUACUCUCAGAAUAAAUCUGUGAAGAAUCUUGUAUUUGCGCAACAUCAAAAAAUUAAAAGAAAGGGUUUGAAAAAGAAAAGGUAACUUGGAUAGGAAGGAAGAGAAAGGAAAGUGAGAAUGUGAAGGCCAAGAAACAUGGAGAGAACCUAUUUAUACGAGUGUGCAGUCAAAAUCCAAAGCCAAAAUCUCUUACAUUAUCCUUUUUCUUUCACCUGGGUUUCUUCUAAAACAAAAGACACCUCUCUGUCUCUAUUCUGUUGUCUCAAAAUUGAGAUAAGUGGUUAGCAGGGAAAAUUGUUGUAAUCAGUUUUGACAGAUAAUACAUUCUUUUCUUUCAGUUCUGCUCACAUGAAUUUGCAUGUUUAUUUAAUCCUUUUUUUUCAUACGUUACCUUUUGUUUGCUGGUUUUAGAAUUUGAUUAAAUGGUGGUUUCCUAAAUUUAAUUGAACAACAGUUUUACUUUCUGAUGUUAUCCUGUGAAGGAAGGAUUAGACAAAAUAUCAAAGUAACCUCGAAAAACAUAACUGAAAAAUCGGCCUCGCCCGUGAAGUCAAGAGAGUAUACCACCUGUUUUCGAUGUUUCUCGAGGUUAAAGUCGCGUGAGACCAAAGAGAACGAGGAUACCAAAAAUUCAUCUGUGAGUGUUUACCAAAGUACUUCGAGGCUCGAGCUAAAGACAGCAAUACUAGACAGUCUUAAACAUGCCUUGCAGUGGCAGAUGAAUUUUUUAACUUGUCUCAAGUUCGGUUUCCGUACAAUGGUAAAAAAAAAAAAAACACGUUCGGGCACCAUUUCGUUACAGGUGUAAUUCAUCAAUAAGUUAAAAGAGUAUAAUCUUUUGAUUUAUGUCGAAUAGAUUGGUGCUAUAAGAACCUUUAUUUGAUCAAUGGAUUUAUGGGCACCCAUCUUUUUCAUAGUCGAUGUGGAAGCUUGUUUGAAAUCCGCUGUUCUCUUCCUGUAGUUGCAGUCUCUUCUUUACGAACAGACUCAGAUGUAAGAUUCAACACCUCACAACUUCAUUUGAACAAAACCACCCUUGAAUGAACCAUAGAGAGGUUGUGAUCUUCUGAAACUGAAAAUAUCAUCUAUGUGAACGAUGUGAGGCUCAGCUGAUUCACUAGUUUCUUCCUUCAACUCAGGUGCAUGCAGGCUCCCAUACACUCGAACACUUAGUGUCUUCUUCCGCGGUGCACCAGCUUUAAUAUUCUCGUUGAAAAAGUCAAUCAAUUCUUGUUGUGUCAGCUGCCUCAGUGCUGCAACCUGUUUCAACACUAAUAUUGUAUAAACCAACUACUUCAUAAUAUAAGUACUCAACUACAAGUGAAAAAGAUAAUUUUAAUUUGCUCAGGCCCCUAAGAAGGUUUACAGAGAACAGAGGCUGCGUUCUUCAUGUCUCUUAGUUUACCUUUUUCUCCAAAAUAAAUUGAAAAUGAAUCUUCAAACAUACAAAAGUCUUAACCUGACUUGGUGAAAAAUAAAUAAAUAAAUUGAUAGUAAUUCCCAUACCUCAGCCUCCCUCCGAUCAAACUUGAGGGUCCCAUCAGAAAUCUCACGCCAGUAAAAUCCAGAUUCUUCCUUUAAAUUCUUGUGUUUCUCAAGCUUCAUAUCAAUCAAUGCAUUUACGUUGUUCUACAUGAAAAAAAUGCCAUUUUCAAUGUUAAGGAGCCAGGCAUUUAUCCAAAAACACUCAUAUAAACAGAAUCUCUAUCUGGGAUCAUCAAGAAAAUAAUAAUUUCACAUAAAAGAAAAAAGUGGUUGAGACUGGGACAAUAGACGCAAUUACAGAAAAAUUGAUAAGGAAUAUUAUCUCUUUUAAUAUCACCAAUCUCUUUCUUUGUACUUAAUGUAGUUCCAUUGCAUUUCAAGACUAGGAUAUGACAAAAUGAUGAUAAAAAGAUGGAAUAAUAUCAUAUUUAUCUCAUAUUAAUAGCAACUGUAAAAGCAUUGGCAUAUGUAUAUAAGCAUUAUCACAUUAAUUCAUGCAGUUAAUAGUCUAGAAUUAAGAUUAGGGAAGUACUUUCUCUAUUCAAAACAUGUUAUCCAAAUGAUUCUUUUGAUAAUUCUAUUGGUAAAAGAUUUGAGCAUCAAACUUGAGCAUUACUGAUAUAAUAACUUCCAACCUUCUGUAGUGUUUAUAAAAACAAUCUCAUCAGUGAAAACACAGAGCAGAAUAACUCAUGUAGAAUAGAAAUGUGUGUCUCACCUUGAAUUGGUCACUGGUCAUCUCAUAAAGUUUACUUUCAAACAUCUGGAGGAAUGAUUCAACUCUCAGAUCAAUAUACUUCGGACCCUGUUAAAUUGACAGAGCACUUGAGGCAAAGCGACAAUAAUGCUGUCAAUGUGCAUAUUCAAAGAACAAAACUAUGCUAUCACCUUUACUGAGGAUUGAAUGAUGAACUGCACUCCAUGGAUACCAAAAUCAUUCCUACAUCAAGUAGAUAGCUAAAUUUAAAGCAAAUACUCCAAGCUGAAGGAGAACUAGGGACCUCAAGUUAUGUACCUCCGCAGGAGUGCUGUAAUGUACCCAAGUUGCUCAACGGUUCUAAGCUGGUGGAAAGCUGGUUGUUUUGCAAUAAGAGCAAGAAGCUGAAGUUUCACAUUCAUAAGGAAAUCAUCUCGAUGAACCUGAACAACUCAACAUGACAUGACAUCAGAAUCGCAUCAGACCCCCCACAGAAACAAAUGGUUUGGUCAAAUAGAGAUCAAGAAACAUGUAAAAGAUUUUGUGUGACUUGUACAUCUAUUAUCCCUGUUGCAUGGGUCCCAAUAACCUACAUUUCAGAAUCCAUGCCAGUUUGUCCCAAAACCAUAUAAUUCUAAAGCAACAAAACAAUAUUAACUCCAUGAAUCAAAGAAUGCUCGAGGAAAACCAAUGUCGCUUAGCACAAGAUAUAUAUUUUCAAGAAAUCGGACACAAAACUAUUUCUUUCAGAGCUUAAGUUCGGAGCCUCAACAACAUGCAUAAAGAACCGUUGGAUGACAUGUAAUUCACUUAAAGUAAUGGCAAAAGCAACAUAUAAAUAGAUCUCAUCACAGUUUGUGCUGUCUGAGAGUAAUGGCAGACAUCAACACAUAAAUAAUACACACUGUAUGUUUGUCUUAAAAGUAAUGGCGAAAACAUUACCAUAAUUAUUCCUUAAUCACAGUUUGUUCAGUAGUUUAGGGUCUUAGCUGAAUAACCUAAUCAUACGGACAGUAAAGAGGCAAACCACUGUUCAUCAAGAAAUGACAGCCCAAACAAAGCCAUUUUAAAGCAAAAACCGCCCUACACCAUAAGCGGGGGUCAAUUCACCAUGAAAAGAAGGAAAAAGGCUCAACUACUUGCUAAUCUCUUUUUUUUUUCUCUCCUUUUUAGCCCCCUUCUCCCCCCCCAAAAAAAAAGGUAACAACUGGGCAGAAAAUAUUGGUUGAAACAAAUAUCAGUAUUUCAUUCCCUUUUCAUGAAAAUAUCUAAAAUUUGAAAUCAAUGCCUCCAACUACGAUAUAGCAAUGGGAAGAAAGAAUACACUAGUGAUAAACAUGUGUCCCAAUAACAAUUAGAAUACUGCUCAAGAUUUUAUCCUCUUCCCAAAAGGAUACUUUCAAAGCUUUUCAAGUAUUAGAAGGGAUAAGAAAUGCAUGCAGAAUACCAGCUGCUUACUUUUACAAGGAGUUUAGAUGCAGCAUAUAACAGGUAUAUCAGCAGCCAAAGCACUUAAUUAAAUCAUUAUUUUCCUUUUUUUUCUAAAAAAAUUCUUGUACCUGAAUAUAAUGGACUAGGCAAGAAUUUUCAUCACUAGGAUUCAGGCCUUGGUUGGAGUACACAUAAUUCUUGCCCUUUUCAAGUUUAACAACUCUAUUAGUCAAAUGCUGGGAUGGGAACAAUGGUUGGCAUAUUGGGUUUGAGCCCUUAAAGAAAACAUCUUCAAUGUACUGGAUCAUCGAUCCUGCUUCAUUAGAUUCAAUGUUUCCUGAAAACAAAUGAAAGUAAUGAGAUCAUAAAUGGAAACAAAAAGGAAUGACCGAAAUCUCAAACAAUGCCAUUAAAAAAUUGAAACAGAAGGACCUGCUAUGUAACAUUCCAAGAAGGUCCUAGAGAGCAUCAUGGGUACAAAUUUAGCAAGAUCUUCAGCUUCAAGAUGAGGAAGAACUUCAAGUUCUUCCGUCCAAGGCCACGUUUGAUCCUGAAGUAUUAGAGAGCAGUAGUACAUAGCCAGUUGAUAUGGCUGUAGAAACUUAUUAUUAUGGUAUUCUUUUGUCACCAUUUCCUGCAAAUAAAUAAAGGGAAUGAAAAACUUUAUUCAUACAUGAACAGCUUGGGUUCAUAACAGACUCACCAAAAGAAGCAACAUGAUAAUGGUUCCAUACAGUGUAAAUGGGGAUUGUUAAGUCAAAAGUUCAACCAGUUGAGGAGUCGCUCACAGAACCAUCAAAUGCAAGUUCCGGAAGAACUAAAAAACGGCGCUAAAACAUUUUUAGAAACAGCUUAUACACUUUAAUAAUCAAUUUAUACAUCUUUCUAAACAGAGUAGGAUAUAUAAACAAAAAUAUAUUUUUUACCCUUAAUAUUUUAGUAUGCCCCUACCACAGUGAAGAUCCACUUCUGGGGGCUUGUGGUUGCUUAUGCAUGUGCAUCCACAUGAAUGGAAUCCAGGUGUAAAAGAUGAAAGAAAAAGAUACAAUGCAUGCCCACACCCAGAUGCACACCCCUAAAGCCUUCAUGCUGAAAAGCCAUGUUACUGAUUUGGAGCUCAAAACAACCAAAGCUAUGCAGGCUUUGGAACAGCACAACCAAAGAAAAUUAUUGUAAGCUCCCAAUUAUAAACAAAUAAUACUAGUACUUUGAUUCAGUUAGAUGUUUAAGAUUAUAAAAGAAAAUAACAUUCAAUGUCAAACAGGUCAAAUAUUUUAAGCCUAAAUCAUUACCUUAAUCACAGAAAAUCUGUCAGGUUUGACUUUGAAUUGUGCAAUUUUUUGAAAAAUAGUUUCCAGCAAGAUCCUCAAUUUGUGAUUAUAUCCAACCACUGUAACCUAUAGAAGCAAAAACCAUAAAAUCGACACAUAAAAAUGCAUACCAACAUGCGAUAAAUAUCAAAGGCAAGUGAUAACAUUACCUCAAAACCACUCUCAGUAUGGUUUAUCCCAUAAUCAAGGCCAGCAACCUGAGCAUAGUAAGCUGAUACAUAAAGAUAUGAUGGAUAAGGAAAAAAUUUAAUUUUAUUCACAAAUACAGAAUUAUGUAAAUUGUGGAAGUUAUGCUCUGUACCAGAAACAUAAGAAUUUUAUCAAAAUGAAAGAGAAGAUGAUACGGAAGUGAACCAGAGGUUCACAAGGGAAACAAAGACAGUCCAAUAAAAGCUACCUACUAACCAUAUAGAACAAAUGCAUAUCUAUACCUCAAACAGCAUACAAGUCCCAAAAUUUACUAAAAUGUGAAAAAAGCCCAAUCAAACAAAAUCAAUCCAUGACCUCUGUCAACUCAACUAAACCUAAAUACAGGGAUCAGGUAUGAGAAGCCCUUUGGUAAUAAUCUGUUCCUUCAAUGAAAUUUUAGUAUGUGGAACUCUAGUUUACUUUGGAAAUCUUUCUCCCUUUAUUUAUUCUAUAAAAGUUUGUCUGUUUCCAACUAAAAAGAAUGAAAACAAAAGUUAAAAGAAAAGGAAUAGUCAUUUGUCCAAUCCUACAUCAACAUCCUACGACAUUUAUCCAGCAUCUUACCAUAUUCAUUCAAAUAGUCCAGUAACAACCGUGUGAAAAUAUCAGUCAGAACUUCAGAUUCAGGAGAGCUGCUAGCAUGGGGGCAGUUGAAAUAAAUCUUAACAAAUGCCUUGGGUGUAGAGAACAUUGUGUCAGGCCUGUACCACAAUGUUGAAUAGGAUGACUUUCUCAACAGAACUGGGAAUUUGGCCUGUUACAAAGACCAAUUGCAUACGAACAAUUACUUUAAAGAGAAAACAUCACAAUAAAUUUUACUGUAAAGAUGGGGGGAAAAAAAUCCUGAGACCUCUUGUGCAUCCUUAAGAGACAAGUCUGUGGGGAUGAAGACAUUAGGAGUUGGGAGAUGCAGAUUUUCCUCAGCAGCAGACAGUAUCCAGUCCUGGAAACAAAUAAAGAUUUUGAAGACUCAUCAAUUCCUUCCUUCAAGCUGCUCUAAUCACGCAAAAUUUAUUUAGCUGCUUCCACUGAAUGUGGGACAAGAUAAAUAGCAUACACUCCAAUCUAAUAUGAACUUUUCCUUCUUGGAAAUCAUAUCCAUGAACCAAAAGAGAAACCCUAAAACCUCACCCUCCAUCUCAUUCUAAUAGCCAUUUGCCUCCAAGGACAUUGACCUCUGUUAUUAUCACUAGAAUAAUGAAUCAUAUCAUAUUUAAAAUCAAACAACGAACCUGAAUUAUGGACUCAUUGAUUUUCUCAAUGGAAUAAGCAGUACCAUACCAAGGCUCAACCAUGUCUGUUUUCCCCUCAAAUUGCUUUGACUCCCAAAAAAAUCCUGAUAAACAGAGAGCUUAUUAGAAAGCCGACUAUCUGUCAAUCACAAUAGUCUGACUUUGAUUGCAAGAUGGAGACAGCCAAUUGUACAUGAAUUAUGAGACACAAACAUGUCCUUGAGCAUUACUACCAACAAGCAGAAAAAUGCAAGUAAUUACUCUUGAAAACAAAGUAUCAAAUCCGAAACUGCUAACCAAGUUAUUGGCAAUACAAUGAUAUUGAAAUGUUUCCCUUUUCUUUUAAACAUAAAGCAAUGGGAAGCAAACAAUUAGUUAUAUUACAGAAGAUAAUGGAAACAAGCAGAUAAGGCUUCACAUGCACAUGGAAUAGUUUAAAGCCAGACAAUUAUUUUACAAGAAAAAGAACUUAUCUUAUAGCAAGAAGAAUGGGAAGGAUAAAAAUAAAACAUCAUCCUGCCAUAGAAGUUCAACGAUAAGUCAAAUGCUUAAAUGAAGUUCGGAUAACUUCUACCAGAAUCAGGUACCAUGUCCAACAAAAUAGUGAACUAAAGUUAAAUUUUUUAACAAUCAAAUUGGAACAGAUGUUAUGUACAAAGUUCAAACAACGGAACCAUGUGAGUCAUUCGUCAUAUGCACCGAGUCAAACACUCUCUAGGCGCUUACAAACUUACCGAACAGUUUUUGGAGAAAGCUCAUUCAAAGUCAUUUGAAUAAUCUCUGGACUGAAAUUGGAAGGCAAUGAUUUACCCACUAGCCAGUCUUGAGGAGGAUAUGUCUGAAAAAUAAUUUCAAGGCAUCAUUUACUAACAGAAAAAACAGUAAUAAUUGACUCAUUCACAAUCAAAACAGACAACUGCAAAAGAAAGAUGUCAAUCAGCUACCAGUUCAUGAUUCACAAGCCCAAAUAAUCCUUAAAACGUAGAACAAAGACAAGAAAGUCAAAUUUGUAAACUGUCUAUAAGAAUAGCACAAAGACUGGUUCUUGCAAAAAGCUGUUGGGAAUCUAAAAAAAGAGGUCCAGCAUUCAAAAACAAUGGUAGAACAAGAUUAUUAAUCUACUCACCAUAUCCACUUAUCUAUGUCUAACAUUAAACAAAAACACCUUUAUGUGCAAGGGAAAGAGACAAUGAAGCAGGCAAGAUAACCAUAUUUUUCAUCCAAUCAAUCAUCGGAUAAAGGUAUUUUCUAGUGUUUCAAGUGGUGUUAGCAGCUAUGCCUCACAAUCAGUUCCUCAAGCUAUACUCCUACACUAUUCCAAUUAUUUUAAACAAUGUAAUAAAACUGGAUAUUUCGUUCAACCCAGCAGGAUUAACUUUACAAAAUGAAAAAGAACCUAUACCUCCAUAUAGGUAGCAACAGUAACCACAUAGUCAAUCGGGGGGACUUUAUCCUGAUUAUGAAAUGUCACCUCACAAACAGCUGAAAGCUUCAUAAGAUAAAAAAAAUGUCAGAAUGUUGAAGUCUAGAUAGGCUGAAAACAAGACAGGCAACCUUCCAGAUGCAAAUUCAAUAAAUAGUAAACAAUUGAAGUACUGACAAGGAGAGAGUUGAUUAUCCUUCAAGCAAGAAUACAGCAUGACAAAACUUUUAAAAUAUUAUGAAAGACAUAAAAUGCAUGAUAAUAAUUCAAAGCCAGAUUCAUUGAUGUGUUGGACUGCUGUCAUGAACUUUCCUUCCUUCCAGAUUGCAUGAAAGUAUAAAAGGAAGAAAAACUAGAGGGCAAUAAAUUUGAUGCAAUUUUUUUUACUUUACACCGAGUAAAAACUAUUCUCAAACCUUCGGUGGAUAUACUGUGGGUGGCUAUACUCAAAUCUCUGGUGGUCAGCAGAACAAUUUCUUAAAAGCGUCCGUUAAGAUACAUCAUCUACAAGAACAUAUUCUUCCUGUUUCAACCAUAAUCCUGAAACUUAACAAUAGCAUGCAAGUAAUGUUUGAAUAGCAACUAUCAUAGUUCCCCCAUUUCACAUUUCUACAUAUACAUCAUUGAUACGGCCAAUUACAAUCACGAGUCAUUAUCCAAAAGACCAACUUUUACCACAGCAUUGUAAGAACAAACUAUCGAACAAUAAUAGUCUCUCACAACUAAAAAGUAAUGCCAUUAGCAGAGUCAAAUAACUUCUUGUUUCCAACAACAAAUAAGAGUAGUAGUAGAAAUAAGAAGCAAAAUAGAUACUAAGCUAACAGCCAAACCCCAACAUUCUCAGGUAGAAAAUGUAAUGCAAAUCAAUCAUCCUACCACUAUGCUCUUCAACAGAAGCAUCCUACAAAGAGGCAAGACUGCACGGAUGCGAGAAACAUGCAAUUAACAAUAAUACUAUGCAACAGUAGCAGUUAACAAGAUGCGUCAUCAUACCUCAUCAAAUAUCCAUUUGCUAGCACCAGACUGCUGUAAAAGGUUUAUGUAUUUAAAUAGCAACCCCACAACAUCUUGCAUGUGCUCUGCUAGUCAAUCAAGGGGGGGGAAAUAUUUAACCCAAAAGAUCUACAAAUUGAAGUUAUUUGCAUAUUCUAGCAGAACAAAGUAAAUCAAUUGAUUAUAAUGAAUCACAUUCAAUUAAAUGCAGUGUGAGAUACAAAUGAAUUACCAUGACCAGAAUCAGUAAGAUCAACUGUAACUUCAAAGAAUGAAUAGUCCAAAGUCCAAUCUCCUUCACCUGCAGCCAAUGAUGUAGCCCAUCCUGCAAAAAUUUAUUUCAAAAAGAGGUGACUGGUCAGUUGGCCUUUCAAAGGUGAAAAUUUUUGGUGUGGAUAACCAAAGACCCUGAGCUAGUGUCAUCAAAUUCCACUUUGAUCUUUAUACACAAAACAAACACAGACAUUAUCAACCAGAACAUACAUGUGCUUAUAUCAAGACUUCUUCCCACCCUGAAACUUGCGAAAUGGUUGCCAUCAUUUUACAAUCACAUUAUUUAUCAAUGAAUCAUUCCAAAGAUAUUCAUCAGUAGCUCAAUUCCUAAUCACGCAAAUAAAAUUUUCCCUUAAGCAUGAAAAAUUGCUCUCAUCAAAAUACCACUGCAUUCUUGGAAGAUCAUAGGCAACAACCGGAUAUGCUAACAUCAAAAUUAAAGAAAGUGCACUGCCAUACUUUACCUUUAAGCAAUAUCAAUGAACAAAUACUAAAAUAAAUAAACAAUUAAAUAUAUGAUAAUCAACACAAAUUAGUACAAGACAAAUUGUACAGAUUUCAGUGGACGUUAACCAAAGUCAUCAACAAUCCAGCCAUGAAAUGAGGAUCAGAGAGUGCUUCAUCCCCACUAAGCUGUUUGCAUCAAGCAGUGAUUCUUAAAAUUCUAGAGGAAAAUCAGUCCCUCAAGAAAGCAUAACAUGCAGUAGCUUUGUAAAUUGUUUCUAACAUCCACACUAUGGAAAUAUGACAGGGUAGGCAUUGAAUACUCGGGGGGGGGGGGGGGGGGGGGGGGGGCCAAAGGAAAAAAUAUGUGGGGGGAAAAUCCAAAAGAACUUAUUUGGUGGCUACAACCUAUAAAAAAUCCACAAAUUUAUGGGUUAUUUGUUGUUUACUAUUCAAAUUAACAAAAACAAUUCAUUCUGAACUUGUAAAGAAGAAGCAUCUCAAGCCUAAGGAUGUAGGAACACAAAUUAUGGACACUAAAACUUGGUUAAGUUCUCAAAUCAAAAAAGUUUCAGGAUGCAACUGAAAGCUGCAAGUACAUUGAGAAUCAGAAAUAUAAGGGAUAAGCAGAACCUACCCAAUGUUUUCAAGAUGUAAAACAAUGAUCCCUCUGAUUCAUGCCCAAUAAGAUGACUGAUAUAUCUGCCUGGUGCUUCCUUGUAGUGAUGAAUGCUUGGAGUUAUUGGCCAUCCAAUUCUUAGUUUGUGACCUUGUUUAAUUGGAACAGCUCUCACAAGAAUCUGAAGCAAAAAAUAUAAACUAGGAAAAUUUGAAAAAAAGAAAAAAUUCUUUCCUACUUUCUGCAGUGUCACUUGAGACCCUUUGUCACCACAUAGAACUUGUGCAUACCUGUAAAUGUUCUGAUGUGCAAGGCUGACCAGGAAAACGGAAACGAUUUCGAUCAGUGUUCCUAAUGUCCUGAAACUUAUUCUCCACUAGACCUUGAAUUUUAUCAACACUUUCUAGAAACAUCCAUCACAUAGGGUUGGUCAUUAUAUCUCAGAGUACUUCAGUCAAGGCCAAAAUACAGCAGGAAGAAUUAGUUCCUAACCUUUUGAAUACACAACCAGAUGCAUGAGGUUGGAAGAGUAAUGUUCAUUAUAAAACUUAAUGAGCUCAUGCCUUGUGUCCAAUCCUUUCGCUUUUGGUUGAACUUCCAAAGUUUCCCAGUUACCUAAACACCAACAAGUACUUGAUAUAAACAUCUAUCUCAUUGAAACACAAUAUGCAGAAACUAGGGCGAAAAGGUGAAAGGAAAAAAAUCGUGAACACAAUGAAUUGUAGACAUCGACAGAACAACUUGGAAAUACAAUCAUUUUUUCAUAAAACUCUGAAAAAUUACUAAAAUGAAGAAAAUGAUAAAUGAAAAAGUAUAACAGAAUGUAACACUUUAUAAUAAAGAACGGAGAAAGAAUCAAGUAAGUUGCCGACCAGUGCUAAACUUAUGAUAUGGAUGAUCUUCUGAACUUAGAUGUUUCCGCAGCUGUACAAAUUAAAAAAAAAAAAAACAUAAAGGUAGUCAUUUCUCACAGAAACACUACCAAAACGACUACUAUGGUCAAAAGAUAUAACACCUUAAUCAUAAUUAACUUGCUGGAACUCAAACACAAUCGUCAGGACCAGCUUUAUAAUUUAUGCUUUUAAGCCAAACAAAAAAUCAAUAUGAUAUGAACAUUAAUUUGACCAAGAGGUCUUAUAUUUGAAACCUCCCAUAUAAUUGCAUUCAGAUUUGUAUUUGCAUUUGCAUUAUCAUCUGCAUCUAAGUUAGUUUCUAUUUUAGCUUGAUCCACAUGACAAGGCUGUUAAUAAAAUUCAGAGGGUCUGUUAAUACUAUAGUUGAUAAAAUCCAGAUGGCCUGUUAAGGCUAUAGUUGACUAAUCUAUUAGCAUAAACUUUUAGGUCGAUUGAUGAUGAUGCUAAUUGUUAAAAGCAAUAAUGAUGACAACAUCAAUGAAGAUAAAUUACUUUCUUAUUUCUCAUUAAAAAGGGGGAAAAAGAACAACAACAACAAAAACAAGAUACUUGCUUAGUAAAAUCUCUUGGUACCAAUGCAAAGAUCUAGAUGGAAUCUUUUCUUCUCCAAGGAAGUUUCAAAGGUUGUAAAACAGGCCUUCGAAAAUAAACGAAUUCUACAAAAUUUGAUCUAAAAUUAUGUGGGACCUAUAUAUAAAUUUGAUACUUGGCAAUAAUUUCCAUUUAGCCUUAUUUCAAUGUUAAGCUUAACAACAGAAAUCCAAUCACUUGGCAUUAUUUUAGCUUGCUCAUAUUUUAGGAGUUAAUAUCUAGGUUUGAUUGAAUAGGCCUCACAACAGAACAUCAGUCCUUCUCUAUUAUAACUGUCCUGAUUGGCUUUUGCAUGAGGUCCUCUGUGGUUUUUUCUUUUUUUUUUAAUUAAUUAAUUAUUUUUUUAUUUUGGGGCCACAUCAUUAGUAUUUGCAGUUUCCUAUUUAGAAUUUCAACCCUUUGGCGACUUCAGGAAAACUGGCAAGUCUCAUACAUUCCAGGCAAACGCUUUUAAAUGAAGAUCAGUUGCACUCCUUAGAAUCGUGUGAUAUAAGUGUAUGGGAAAAAUUUGAUGCUGAGGCACCAUACAUUACAUGUGAUGAAUACAUCUAUUUAUUCAUCUUUCUUGGAUUACUGUUCACAUCCAAGUAAAAGUAGCUCAUGUAACACUAUCUUAACCUGAUAUUUUGGUCUCAAAUGCUACCCCGACCAAUAUCCUUCAAAAUUCAAAAUUCUACACAUAAUUUCAACUCUUAAGCCACCCUUUGUACCAUAAUAUCGGCACCUAACAAUCAAUAAGCACUUUACAUGCCAAUUAUCAAGAGCGCUAUUCUUUUUCUAUUUAUACGUAACAAAUUUAUUACAAAAGCAGUACCAAAAUUGUGGAGCAACCGUGGUACAUGGGAAAUAUAUAAGAAACACCGAAACAGAACCAAACUAAAGCCUAGUGCUUAAGAUCUCUAAAAAUUCCAUAAAAGGAAGAGUGAAAAUGAUUUUUUGGCAGACGAGUACAACAUAAAGACCCCAAAUCAAGCUAAGUCCAUUACCACUCAUCCAUUUUCCAACUAAUCAACACUGCUAAGAUUGUCUUGAACCUAAAACACUAAGCUUUCCAUAGAACACCAAUCAAAAGGCAUUGUAAGAGAAGAAGACCUACACAAUCCCCAAUACCCUUGUGCCAUAAAACACCAACUUAUAAUAAUUUAUUUUCUUCUUACCAAAUUUUAUUGUGCUAAGAGUUCAACAAAGGAAUUUCAAUUUUAGCAAAUAUUAUAUCUCAAUCUAUUCAAAUAAUGGCCAAAGGUCAGAUGUCUGUGCAUGUUCAGGUUUUUUUAGUUCAAUGGAGCCACUUCUUAUACCAAAGAACAUAGGAUAGAAACCAGAAAAAAGGAAAAAAGAAAAAAAAAAACACGAGUUGCAGCAAUAAAAUAAAGCUUUAUGAAGGAAAACUUUCACUUCAAAACUGAUACUCAGGCUCAGCAAUGGGGUCCCAGGUCUCUUGUGAAUGACAACAAAUGAUAUAAUGAUAUAACUUAGAAAAUAGAAACCCAAGGAAAAAUCAUCUCCAAAUAUUAAAUUAAUAGAAGUAAGCAAUACCUGGUUUAAUCUCCAAACAUCAGACAACAAGUUUUUCUGGUUCUCUGGAUACAAGCGAGGGAAGAGGAAGGAAAGCGGAACUGAAUUAAUGAUAAUGAAACAUGAUUCUGAAAGUACAUUAAUGCGCUAGACUCUACAAUGAACAACUAACCAGAAUCAACUGCUUUAAUCUCCCUCAUGGUAGCAUCAGCUGACAUCAACGGUUUAAUAAAGAACUGUGCAAAUCUGUGCAGUAAAUCACAGGAAAGACUCAGACUCAAAAACUCAAGUACUGAAAGAUUUGAUACUUAAGAAAAACGAAAAAUGGCAUGUACCUGUCCAAAGCUUCUUCAAAGGAGUCAGGGUUUACAUCAAAGUAGUAGUUUGUAUGCUCAGAAGAUGUAAACGCAUUUGCCAUUCCUCCAUGCUGUGCAUAAGAAAAUUAAUCAGCGGUGAAAAUUAGAACAACACCUUGCUCGUUGUACUUACAGGGAUUAAUCAAGAAAUAAAGCAGAGAGCAGUUUGUAUUUAUCACUUGAUCACACAACCUAAAAUGUAUGUGCUCAGGUGUGUAAUGACACCCUAGUUUCUACCCCAAAAGAAUUCCCAAGAUAAUCCUUAAAACAGAACAAAAAGUGCACUCUCCAAACAGACACAUCAAGGAACAUACCAGUGAUACCACCCAUACACAGGGGGCCAAAUUAAAAAGGAAAUGAUAAAUCUCUGGAGCGAACCAGAUUUCUAUAAAUAAUGCAAAUAAAGCUCAAGACAGGGAAGCAAAACUACACGAAAGACAUACUUCAGUACUUUUGCUACCAAAAUAUGAAUGCGCCAAUCAAAACAGGACACCUGUCCCAAGGACCUAGGUAGGAGGUAUUCCUUUAUUCCGUAAAGAAGAUUGCAGUGCCAUAAUAAUCACCCACAAUCCACAAACCAUCUUUCCUACAAGGUCUCUAGAGUUGCUUCCCCAAUAAAUUAUAUAUCAAACUUAAAAAUAAAAACAAAUUUCAGACUCCAGAUUCCUCUUCACAUGUCUCAAACUGUAUUUAAGAUCAACCUUAACCAUAAACAAUACCAAACCACCACCCAAUGACUCUACUAGAAGACAUAAGCAAAGAUAGGAUGUGGAAUCACAACUAGUCUUAGGAUGUGAUUCAACAACCCGCAGUAAGACUGUGGUCAUUAUUCACGGUCGCUGCUCCAAUAUUAUCUAAAUCGCCACCCUGACACUAUGCAAGAUCAGUAACCUAAAGACAUAAAAUCUAAAGUAAAAAUGAAAUUUCUGGCACAAGUUGUCUCAAGUAUCAAAAGACAGCUUGAGAGGAUCAUGUUCACAAUAUAAUUCAUAAUUUUUCACUCCAGCAUACAUCAGUCAAUGCAUGGAAAGUCCACAGCAUCACUAAGAACGAUAAGGAUACAUAUUGACAAUUAAAGUAUUUUUUUUCGACAACAUUACCAAACAUUAUCAAAUCAUAUCACAAGAAAUUGAUAGACCACCAUGUCAGUGAACUUUCUAAACCCUUGUUGAAUAAACUGACUACAUCUAAAUCCAAUCCGGUUAUGGGUCAGCUCCACAGAGAAAAGAACAUAAAUGGAGUCAUCACCCCAUUCCACAAUAGAACAAUCCAUGGCUGAAAAUUUAAACAAGAAUACCUUUUCCACAUCCAAUCACUAAGAUACAAUGUGACUGCAAUGGCUUGCAGGAAAAUAGAGGAAUGUAAUUAAAACUAAAACUCCCAUCAGCCCUACAAAUCAAGUGAAGAAUUUGCUUCACGAUUUUGUUUUUACAAACACCUGAUUAACAAAAAAGUUAAGAUUUGCCUCUGGAGGGAAAAUGUGUCUUUUUAGUCAGUUAUAUUCCAAGGGAAUAGCAUUCAAAAUUUUUUUCCUUGUCUGUGUAUCUCGCCAACUCCCUCCGCUUCUAGUUAAAGUCUAUUAUUAGUAUCAAAGAGCAAGAUUAAGCAUAAAGCAUGAUUCUCUGAAACUUUUACUUAAGAAAACAUACUAGAAAUAAGUGAAACAGGACAUUAUUGAGGGUCAAUACCUCUGAUAUGUACUUUAAAUAGCUAUCCUCCACUGGAUAUUUCUCACUAGCAUAAAACAGCAUAUGCUCUGCACAUUAAAGAAACAGGAAAACAGUAACUAAAGCAAGUUAUGAAUACUCGAACUCAUUAAACAGGCCACAGAAAUUGUCCCCUGCAGCCAUAUAAAUAUCUAAGUACAGCUAAAAGUGAUAAUAAUGUAGAAUAGGAGAGUAGAAGAAUCAUCCAAUAAAUUGCCACACAACAGAAUUCAAAAAAAAAAAAAUAUAUCAAUGACAAUAGUAAGAGUAAAAAGGGAAAAGAAAGUAGGCAAAGUAGGAAGAGAUGAAAGAACCGAGAACGAAACAAUGCUAUAACUUUAACAGGAAAUUAACAAGCCUAAACAUACAAUGAAGAAAUACUUGAACCAAAAAGAAAGUACAAGUGAAACUUCUAAUUCUGUUUUAAUCUGUCUACUCUAAUUUCAAUAUGAGCAACACAUUGUAUUUUAAUCUGUGAUCAUCCGAAAACACGUUUAGAGUCAUCUCACACAAACCCAUCCCCAUUUUUUUUUGAAGUAACUUUUACAUUCAUACAAGACUAAAAUUCCCCAAAUCAAGAAUUCAAAUUUGCCACAAGAUACAUUAAACAUACCGAGAAAAUGGGCAAGGCCCUCGAGACCAACAGGGUCACAAAAGGCACCAACGCUGACAUUCAUUGAAGCAGCACACUGAAGCAAAAACAAUAAAACAAACCAGACCCACAAGAUUACUAGCUUAAAUUAAACUGAAAAAUAAAAUUUUAAAAAUUUGGGUCUUGCUGAUUACCUUAUCGGCAUCAGGAUCGCUGAUCAAAAGGACUUGAAGAGAGUUUUUAAGGUCGAGCCUCCGGUACUGUCUCUUGUCCGUACGUGGCUUUAUAAUCUCAACCUCAUCCUUACCGACAGCCAUUUUUUCAGUCUCUUGCAGAAGAGAGAAACAAUCGUUUUGGCUUUAUAGGGAUCCACAAGUGAAAUGACCAAGCCCAAGACUUUUUGCUCGAGUCUCCUGCGCUAUCGUGCUGUGGCUGUCACAGG
RNAcentral lists this long non-coding RNA (50453 nucleotides) under Citrus x clementina. RNAcentral describes it as "Citrus clementina (C. clementina) long non-coding RNA (CCLE_LNC000507)". The record is from RNAcentral. Lineage: Eukaryota; Viridiplantae; Streptophyta; Magnoliopsida; Sapindales; Rutaceae.